AGUCAUUUCGUCAAAUUGGGGUCUACUUACUGACCCAACAAUGGGUCCACAGUCGUCUCGGGCAACUUGUGCAAUCCUAGCAGUCAAACAGUGAGAAUGGGCCCAAGGCCUAUAAUGCGGCCUAUAUAGGCCCACAUGCCCGUGUGGCCCAUUAAGCCCAAAAAUGGCCUUGGCCUUGUGGAAUACACAGCCUGGCCCAAUAUUCUCCACACGUUCGUGUGGUUUACCCACGCGGGGCCCACACGGCCCAUUUUGACCCCACAUGGCCUAACGGCUGUAAGACCCAAUUUGUGCCAGGGCUUACACCAAAACCAAAACCAAAAAAUAAAACAAAAAAAAUAAUAAACCCAAAAUCAAAGUCCAAGUACAGUCUUUAUACAAAUUAUAGUCUAAAUUAUAAUCCAUUUACCUAAAUUAAACCUAACCCAAUUAACCCAAAUAACCCAAAAUACCCCAGGCUCAAAAUCCCUAUGGAAUUUUCGGCAGAAAUCCUAGAUCAUCAGCACCGCAGCAACUUCCAGCACUGCUGCUGUCUCCGGGCUAGUCCUACACCUCAUCCCACGUGUGUCACCACCUCCAGUUGGCUCCUUCUGUACCUAUAACAAAUUAACAAACCACAAGCCACAGUAAGGAGGGCGCAACAACACAGCAAAUUUACAGCAAAUGGGCAGCGAAUGAAUAGAAAGAUCUAGGGAAUUUCUUUGAUUUUCUAUUUUUCUCUUUAUUCGGCUAUAAAUAAAGACCGAAUGUAAUUUGUAUGGGGAGGAUACAAAAUAGAAGGAAAAAGCGAUGAAAAACUAAGGUGAUUUAGAUUAUUUCUUUCUUUUUGAUUCUGCUCCUAUUUCACAAAUCUUUGUUACUGCAUAUAAAAACAAAAAUCAAAAAAGAGAAAAGGACUUACCAGAGAGUUGGCUCCUUCGAAUCCUCACUUGAUUCGUCGCAAUCGAAGUUAGGUGACGAUUUUAAGGCUGGUGAGUGAAACUCGUGGACCUCUGGUUGAAUAGGGCCUUGAUUGGCCAUUACAUAACACGAUCCAUCGAGAAGAGAAAAGGCAUUCGAAUGAGAUAUUUUGGUUCAGCCGAGUGGAAGUGUUUGUUUUUUCUUCUUUAUUUUGAUUUUGAUAAAGUGGCCAAGUGCUUGAUCUUAAGUUUGUUUUAGGUUUGAUUUUUGUGCAGAAUUCAAAACGGUGCAGUGUAAGUGGGGGAGAUCUGCGUGGGCAAACCUGAUCCAUAGGCUGGAUCCUUGCUUUGGUACUUCAAAUGGUUAAUUUGCGCGGAUGGUCCCUUGCCUUCACGCUGAAUUUUUAAUUGGUCCUUAUUCACAUUUUAGUUGUUUCAAUUUUUUUUUCCUUAGAAUUUACAUUGCAUAUUGAUAUUUGGAGCAUUUAUCUUUUUCAAUCCUCUCACAUUCGCGUGCACUCCAUUUUAGUCCUUAUUUCAGUUUCAAAUGCUUAUUUUCUUUAUUAAUUAAUCUUUUUAAGUUUGAUUUUGUUUCAAUUAAGAUCUUUUUCUCAUUUUAAUUUGUAUAGUUCAUUUUUUAAAAUACAUUUGGCAUUCAUCUUUUAUUUCUUCUAUACAUUUUAAAUUACCUUGAUAAAUUUAUUUUGUUUUUAUUGUAAAGUUUUUUAUAUCAAAUUAUUUUAACAUUUGUACAAUAUUUCUUUAAAUGUUCUAUAUGUAUUUGUACAUGUAUUAUUUUUAUUGAGAUUUUAACUUAUAAUGCUUAUUAUUUAAAAUUCAUUUAUUUUUUAUUUGAUCUGUGUUAAUAUUUUAUUUUUAUUUUUAUUUUUUUGUGUUUUAUUUGUAAUUAGGCUGUAGUUUUUAUAUUAUAGAUUUUUAAUACUUUGCAUAGCAUUUAACUCAAAUCUUUUUCUAUACUUGUACCUAUAUUAUUUUAAAUUGAAUCUUCUAUUCAUUAUGAAUUUUGAAAAUCCAUUUAGUUUUUUUUAUGUGUGUCAAAUUAUUUUAAUACUUUAUUUUAUAAAAUCAUUAUCUUGAGUUUUGUAUUUAUAUUAUAUUAUUUUAACUAUUAUGUAAUGUCUCAUUUAAAUAUUUUUUGCAUAUAUUUUUUUAAUGGUUAAAUCAUUAUUUUAAAAAUCAUUUUCCUUUUGUUUAUAAAAUUAUUGUUCGGAAAUUCUUUAUAUUAUAUUCUUUUAAUAUAUUAGUUAGUAUUUCAUUUUAAUGUUUCUUUAUAUAUAUCUGUACAUAUAUAGCAAAAUUAAUUUCAUCUUGUAGGCAUUUCAUGUUAUUUUUAUAAAUAAUUAUUUUUAAAUUUGUAUAUAAUUUAUAAGAUAAUCUAAUUUUAUAUGUAUUAUUAAUUUCAUAUUUUGUUUAUAUAAAUAAUUAUUCCUAUAUCAUAUGUGCAUGUCUCAAAAAAAAAUCUAUUAUGGGAACUAUACCUCAUCAUGUAUUUUUCUUCUUUUGUAUGUAAUAUAUUAUUUAAGUUAUCAUGUGAAUUAUCAAUUUUUGAAUGAAUUUGUGUAUUAAAUAUUUUAUAUAUAAUUUGAUUUGAUCUUUUUAUUUUAUAAUAACUAUUUCGAUAAACAUAUAUCCCAAGUUUUUAUGCAAAUUUGUUAACUUAUAUAUAUUAUGUGGUCAUUAAUUCAUCAUUAUGUUGAAAAUGUCUUAUACUAUAUUGAUUUCUAAUUCCAUUUUAUUUUAUACAUAUUUUUGUGCAUCAUUUUAUAUUGUGCCAUGUUAAUUAUUGUGUAUAUUAUUUUGUAUUAAUUAUUCACUAUCCAUGCUUAAAGAAUUUUUGGUCAUAUUGUGCUUGGAAUAAUUGUACAUAAUUGUUAAAUGUAUUAAGCGAGGUUGAACUUUGUGUAUAUUAUUUCAUAUUCAUUACCCCCUUUUUUAUAUGUAUAUACAUUUUGUUGCAAUGCAUUAAAUAUUUCAUUUAUUUUAAAACAAAUAAACGUGUUUUUUAGCAAAUUUCCAAUUUUCUGUUAUUCAAAGAUUCUAAAAUAAGGCAAUAUCUAAUAUUUGGGGAAUUCGAAAAAUCGUGCUCAAUCGUACUGGGUAUGACUUUUCCGGUGAACCAAAUAUUUGGAUACCCUUUUAUAAUUUUAAUGUAUGAAUUUUUCAAAAGUCGAAAAUCAAUCGCAUCUUAAAGGUAUAAGGGAUCGUAUCCAAUCGUACUGGGUAUGAAACCGCAUAUCUUUGAAACGAGAGAUUUUUGACCGCUAAUUUAAGCUAUUCAAACAUUUUUAAAAAAAUCAUACUUCAGAAAAUCUUUUCUUUUAAAACUUUUGAGAUAAGGACAGCAUCAAAUCAAUUUGGUACCAAUUCUUGGGCGUAUUGAGGGUGCUAACCCUUCCUUAUGCGUAACCGACUCCCAAACCCGUUUUUUUAUUUUACAUGAACCAAAUUUAUUUUUCAUUUAAUAAGCAUUUUAGUAGGUGAUCCAAUCACACCUAAAUCAAGAGAUUGGUGGCGACUCCACACUUUUGUUUUCAAAAGUCGAUCCCCAUUGCUUUCAAAAUAAAAAGGGUUUCGACAGCUUGGCGACUCCACUGGGGAUUGAACAAGGAGAGUCAGGCCAUAAAAUUGAUUAUUUGCUAUCCUUUUGUCUAAGAAUUGAAAAUUUGUUUUGAAAAUCAUGAUUUUUUUAAUUGCAUUUGUUUGCAUGAUUGUUGUGGUUCGAGUCUUGUAGAAUAAUAUGGCAAGGCAUUGCAUGACCGCUGUGGUUAUACCUGUUAAGUGGGAGUAAGAAACUAUGCUUUCGUGAGGUUUUCACCUCCGUAUGGGCUAGUGGAUUGCUUCUGGAAUACAUUCGUACUUAUGAUUUCGUGAGAUUUUCAUCUCCGCAUGGUCAUAGGGAAAUGUAUUCCCCUGAACUAAACUCGAUUCAUAUGAGCCUAUAAUGGGUGAGAAUUGAGGAAUUUGCUGGUUCAGGUACCCUUUCUCUAGAACCGAGCUACAUAUAGUGAACCUUGAGAAUCCACCUUUACAUAGAACCUUGCCCAAAUUUAGUGGUUACCUGAAUAGGUACUUUAUUUGAUAUUUUUUCACUUGUACUAACGUGUUUUGUUUUUGUUUUGUUUAUAAUUGCAUUGCAUUACAUUAUCAUAGAAAGGAGGUGUUGCUUCAUGUUUGAUUGCUAAAUAGAAUAGUUUGUCAUAAGAAAAUGAAUUUCCUGAUGAAGUGGAUUAUAAUACGGUUCUCUAAAUUGACGGAAGAAGGCUGACAGUUUGUGGAGAAAAAUAAGUCCUUACCUAAAGAUUCAAGCUGAUAAAGAUUGUUCGAGAGCCGUCGUAUCUCGAUUUUCUUAAUGGAGUUAAUCAACGUCGUAAGGAUAAUGAGUCGUAUCUUGGAUCAAGCAAAGAAGAGCUAGUGGAGGCAUUUAUUAGAGGCUUGCGAGAUUUGGAUUUCACAAAGAAAAGGGAUCAUUGUCUUCACCUGGAAUAUGAAAGCAAGGCCGUAUAUGUAAUCCAUUUUAUGUAAAGGGAUUUGUUUUCUAGAAAAGUUGUUCUAAUGGAAUUAAAUUGAAAAUCAACACUUCUCUUUCUUUUGCAUUCAUCCCAUGCAUUUGCAUUGCAUUGCAUCAUUUCAUCAUUUGCAUUAAACUUUCAUAAAAGGGGUUCCUAAUUAGUUGAAAUCAUUUCAGUUAAAAUGGGAACCAAUAAAAAUUUACAAACCAAGUGUUGUUAUGGUACCCGUGCUAAGACAAAAGAUAUGGACGAAACAUUGGAAAGACUUGAACAACUUCAAAGAGAGAUGCAAGACCAGUUACAAAUACAGAUGCAAGAGCAACUGGCGAAGAUCAGGCAUGAUAUGAGGGAUCUGGUGUUAGAGUCUCAAAGGAAUAUGUUGAACCAGUUGUCUCAAUUGCUGACAAAGGGGCUUGAAGAAAGGAAAAGUUUCAUGAUCAAUACUGGGAAGGACAAUGAGGAGCCUCUCCACCCUCCGGGUUUCACCCCGACAAAUGCUCAGCCGCAAGGUGUACCUAUUGUGAAAAUUCAGCAAUAUCAGGCCGGUACCUGCACCGAUAGAUUACCCGGCAGGCUCAGGCUCCAAACCGGGGGGCAAUCCAACCAAUCUUGAAGUUCCUGAUUUAGAUGAAAUGGUAAAAGCAGAGAGGGAAUUGCCAAGACAACUUGAGGAUUGGUAUAGGUGGUUGGAGGAAAAAUUGAAAGCAAUAGAGAAUGUUGACUUCUACUGUAGGAUUGACGCUAAGGAUCUGAGUUUGGUUCCCGGUCUAGUACUCUUGCCAAAAUUUAAAAUGCCAGAGUUUGAAAAGUACAAUGGGACUAGUUGUCCCGAAGCUCACAUCACAAUGUUCUGUCGAAGGAUGACAGGAUAUGUUAAUAAUGACCAACUGUUAAUCCAUUGCUUCCAAAAUAGUCUGAUCGGGUCAGCAGUUAAAUGGUACAAUCAAUUGAGCCGUGUUAAAAUCCAUUCAUGGAGGGACUUAGCACAAGAUUUUAUUUAGCAGUAUAGUCAUGUAACAGACAUGGUACUUGACAGGAUUACCUUGCAGAAUAUGGAAAAGAAGCAAAAUGAGAGCUUCAGGCAAUAUGCCCAAAGAUGGAGAGAAGUAGCAACACAAGUCCAACCGCCUCUUCUGGAAAAAGAGACCACGAUGCUUUUCAUCAAUACUCUGGAAGCCCCGUUCAUUAAUUAUAUGUUGGGAAGCGCUACUCUAUGCUUUUCAGAUAUAGUAAUGUUUGGUGAGAUGAUUGAAGAUGCGAUAAGAAAUGGGAAAAUAGAUAUGGGAGAAAACGCUAAAAGGUCAACUCCGGGAAACAAGGAAAAUGAAGUGAACAUCGUGAGCAUGCAUUCCAAAUUGGUCAACAUAGGCCAGCCAAGGGUUAUAACUACUAAUUAUCAAAGAGAAUUUGAAUGACAUAUCUAAAGAGAGGUCUAGGGAAUAAAAGUUUCCAAACCCUUAUGUACUUGGAAGUGUUUUAAGCAAUGAGACUAUGGAAGAUAUCCCUGUAUUUUUAGAACUGAUCUAGAGUAAUGUUCAAAACGCACUUGUUGCUUUUAAGCCUAGGGGCAAUAAGAAUCCUCUUGUGAAAUAGGCUUGUGUCCAAAAUUUUUAUUUCAAUAAAAUGCAUUCUUUUUGAGUAAAUAUUCUUUCAUUCUUUUUAUAUUCUUUUGUUCUUUGGACUAUUUUUUUUAAAAUAUGCUUUUAUUCUUCAUUCAUGAUCAUACCAUACAAAUAACUAUCCUUAGAAUCAUUUAUUCUUUGGAAUUUGCUAUUGUACCUACAAUAGGCCCCCAGAUAUCAAUGACAUGAGCAACACUGUAACUGACUCCCUUUUGGGGUGAGAUAGGUGUUUAAGCAGAUCCCAGGACUUUGAAAAUGACAGAGAUUGUGACUUAUUUCCUGAUUUGUUAGGGAUGGUAGAACAAGAUGAAAAAAUAGAUCCUACUUUACAAAGGGACAAUGGACAUUGUGAACAGGGGGCAAAGAUUGAAACCUGAGUCACCACAAGGACAAAAUGAAUUGUCUUUGAGUUGCUUCAAGAAAUUCAAAGAUGUUUUCACAUGAUUAUGUCGAGAUAUAUUUGAGAUAUUAAGAUCUGUGGAUGAUACAAAAUGUCUAUACAGUGCCAGAAGGACACAUGUUAAAGGUUUCAUGGUAGCCACGCUAAUCAUGAGGUUUGGGUAUUGUUGAUCCACCAUGGAAAGGGAUUGCAUUGGUUAAAGCCACAUUCAUUUCUUCACAGAUUUUCUCUAUAUGGGACAAGGAUGCUAUCAGGCCAUUCUCAUCAAUUCAUCUUAGCAGUCAUUGAUUACUUCACAAAGGGGGUGAAGGUCACUUCAUAUGUCAAUAUUACAAGACUGAUAGUCAUCAAAUUCUAAAAAAAAAUUCAAAAAAAAUUGCUGACAAGUAAUGUCAGAAAGGAUCACUUUCAAAUACAACUGCGCAAUGUCAAAAGUUUGCAGUCUGUUCAAAGAUCAAACACUAUAUUACAGUGCAGAAAAGGCAUUCAAAAAGAAAAAAAAUUACAAAAAUAGAAAAAAAAAAGAAAAGCAAACAACAGGACAAAGGUCAUAGUGAAAAAUGACUGAGUCUUGUAAGGAUUGGCAUAAAGAAGUUAUCAUUGACCUUCUAUAUUUGUCGAACAUGGGCCUGGACCAUCACCUGGGCAACACAUUGAUUUAUAGGACUGAAACAGUUUUUGAAAUCGAGAUUCCUUUUCUUCGAGUCUUGGCAGAAUUAAAGUUGGAUGAAUCAGAAUGGGUUCAAUCCUGAUCCGUCAAAUUUAAAAGAUAUUUGUCACAGCCAGAUGAUGCAGGUUUAUCCUCGAGAAUUCCAUGAGGGGAGAUUUGAUAUUGAAGAAGAUCCUUUCUAUACAAAAAGACUUCAAAGGAAGAUAUGCCAAACUAAGAGGGACCUUAUGUAAAAAAGGCCUGUUUUUGAUUGAAAGGAUUUGCCCAAUUCGGAGAAUUCAAAAUGCAGUCAAAGAGUGUUCUAUGGGAGAGGCCAAGGUGAAAACCCGCAAAGGGCGCCUUGAGAUUUAAAAAAAAUCAAUCAAAAUCAAAAAGAGAAAUAAAAAGAAAAAUAAAAAAUCAAUCAAAGAAAUUGAAAAAAGAAAGAAAAAGGAGAGACCAGGGCGAAAACCCGCAAAGGGCGCUUUGAGACCAAAGGGGAUUUGAGUUGAAAACCCGAAAAGGGCGGCUCAAAUUUGGAUCAAAAUGGAGCACACAGUAGUCUUACUUGCCUGAAUUAACAAUGAAAGAACUAUGUUAUGUCUUGGGGCAUCGACAAAGUACUUUGGAUCCCCUAAACACAGAUAAAGCUCUGAAUGGUCCUCGAGAAGUUGGUACAGAGAAGCUCAAGCUGCGAUAUUUGGGGCACCUAGUUUUUCAUUUUUACCCUUUGGUUAUCUUUGAUUACCUUAUUCUUUUCAGAUCACGUCCCAAUAGAUUUCUUUCUUGGUUGCAUUUGCUUGUUUGUUUCGAGCUAUGUUCUCAAUUAAUUCCUUUCUUGUCCAUGGUUAUGAUCUUUUUCAAGCAUUUUACAUUGAAAUAAUGAUUUUUGGACUAAUAAAUACUUUCAUAAAGGAAGUUUCACAUAUUACUUCGGGGAGUUUCUAAAUAAUACAGGAGCCUGAAACAGGUCUAUUGGUUAAAACUCACUAAGCUUAAGGGUUGAAAAUAUUGAAGCCCAAAUUGAGAUUAUCUCUUUGGAUUUUCUAUCAAAGAUAUUAAUUGGUGUUAUAAUCCCGGUAAAGAAUGAGUAAUGGAAUUAUCCUUGAGAAAAGAAAAACGGUAUUCUGUAUUUAUGCAGAUAUCAGUCAUAUACAUCUGUUCAUUAUACCCAAGGAAUAGUGUAACAGAUCAAAUUAAUGGAAGAUCCUAUACCUCGGAGUUGUAGCAGGAUAUAGAUAGAAGAAAUCAAAUGAUUAUUCCCCUAAAGUUACAGUGAGAAGUUCAAAUUUUAUGACCCAGAAGACUACAGUGUAAGGGACUCUGAAAUAACAGCGGGGCAAGCUUGCUGAGUAGAAUGUGAUUGUUUCUUUGGGUUUUCUGUCAAGAAUACCAGCCGAAUAAGAUGGAAGCAUAAUAAAUCAGAGAUAAUGCUCUGGUGAAUAACGAGCAAUGAUGCCUUAAGCAUUUUUUUUACCAAGAAAAAGAAAAAAGAUCAUUUAAAAAAAGAUCAUUUUCAUUUUUACAUUCAUUCAUAUAUCAUUCAUAACACAUUUAGUUAGGUGCAAUUGAUUCAUUUUGAUAAUAGCAUCCUAAUUAUUUGACAUCAGUAUCACAUCUAGUUAGGAGCAUUAGAUUCAUUUCGAUUAUAGCAUCCUAAUGGUUUGACAUGAGCAUUUCAUAGGAUCAUUUGAUUCAUUUUGAUCAUAGCAUCCUAAGUAUUUGGCAUAAACAUGAUAUAUAAAACCGAGUCUACAGGACAGGUCUGAGAGGACGGUGUAGUAACAUCGGUGAAGUCAGAUCUUAUAUCCCUGAAGUUACAGCGAAAUAGAUCAAAGAUUGCUAACCUUAUCUCUCUGAAGUUGCAGUGGAGCAGGUUGAAAUGUCAAUUGCAGUAAAGCAGAUCAUAACAAGUCUUAUCUCCCUAAGGUUGCAGUGGAGUAGAUUGAAGAUUGAAGAUCUUAUCUCCCUAAGCAGUAGCGAAGCAGAUCGAAGAUGGCGAAUCUUAUCUCUAUGUAUCGGCAAUGGAGCAGAUUUUAGCCACUGACCUUAUCUCUUUGAGGUAGCAAGAGAGCAGGUUGAAGAUGAUAGUCUUAUCUUCCUGAGAUAGUAAGGAAGCAGACUGGAAUUUGCAAAUUUUAUCUCUCUAAGCAGUAGUGGAGCAGAUCAAAAAUGAUGAAUCUUAUCUCCAUGUAUCAGCAAUGGAGCAGAUUGGUGAUAAUAGUCUUAUCUUCCUGAGGUAGCAAGGAAACAGACUGAGAAUUGAAGAUUUUAUCUCCCUGAGAUUGCAGCAGGGCAGAUCUUCACAUAUGGUGAAUCUUAUCUCCAUGUAUCGGCAAUGGAAUAGAUUUUACCACCAAGCCUUAUCUCUCUGACGUAGUAAGAGAGCAGGUUGAAGAAUGAGUCUUAUCUUCCUGAGGUAGCAAGGAAGCAGACUAAGAAUUGAAGAUUUUAUCUCCCUGAAGUUGCAGCGGAGCAGAUAUUCAUAGAUGAUGAAUCUUAUCUCCAUGUAUCGGCAAUGGAGCAAAUUUAAGCUUUAAGCCUUAUCUCUCUGAGGUAGCAAGAGAGCAGGUUGGCCAUCUUCUUGAGGUAGCAAGGAAGUAGACUGAAGAUUGAAGAUCUUAUCUCCCUAAGCAGUAGCGGAGCAGAUCGAGGAUGACGAAUCUUAUCUCCAUGUAUCGGUAAUGGAGCAGAUUUUAGCUAUUGACCUUAUCUCUCUGAGGUAGCAAGAGAGCAAGUUGGCGAUUGUAGUCUUAUCUUCCUAAGGUGGCAAGGAAGCAGACUGAAGAUUGAGGAUUUUAUCUCCCUGAGAAGCUAUGAAACAAAUUGAAGAUGGUGAAUCUUAUCUUCAUGUAUCAGCAAUGGAGCAGAUUUUACUACCAGCCUUAUCUCUCUAAGGUUGCAAAAGAGCAGGUUGAAAAAUGAGUCUUAUCUUUCUGGGGUAACAAGAAAGCAGACUGAAGAUUGAAGAUUGGAAGAGGCAAAUCUUAUCUCUAUGUAUCAGCAAUGGAGCAGAUUUAAGCCUCAAGCCUUAUCUCUCUGAGGUAGCAAGAGAGCAGGUUGAAGAUUGAGUCUUAUCUUUCUGAGGUAGCAAGAAAGCAGACUGAAAAUUGAAGAUCUUAUCUCCCUGAAAUUGCAGCGGGGCAGAUCAAAGAUGGUGAAUCUUAUCUCCAUGUAUCAGAAAUGGAACAGAUUCUACCACUAGCCUUAUCUCUCUGAGGUAGCAAGUGAGCAGGUUGGCGAUUUUAGUCUUAUCUUCUUGAGGUAGCAAGGAAGCAGACUGGAGAUUGAAGAUCUGUUUCCCUAAAGCAGUUGCAGAGCAGAUUGAAGAUGGCGAAUCUUAUCUCCAUGUAUUGGCAAUGGAGUAGAUUUAAGUCAUCAGUCCUAUUUCCCUAAAGUUACAGUCAAGAUUCAGCAAAAUCAGGCAAAAUUGGCCUUAUUUAAAGUCUUUGUUCUAUUUUUGUUACACGACAAUGAGCAAAGAAGGGCAACUGUAAGACCCAAUUUGUGCCCAGGCUUACACCAAAACCAAAACCAAAAAAUAAAACAAAAAAAUAAUAAACCCAAAAUCAAAGUCCAAGUACAGUCUUUAUACAAAUUAUAGUCUAAAUUAUAAUCCAUUUACCUAAAUUAAACCUAACCCAAUUAACCCAAAUAACCCAAAAUACCCCAGGCACAAAAUCUCAUGGAAUUUUCGACAGAAAUCCUAGAUCAUCAGCGCCGCAGCAACUUCCAGCAGCCUCUAGUACUGCUACUGUUUUCAGGCCAGUCCUACACCUCAUCCCACGUGUGUCACCACCUCCAGAUGGCUCCUUCUGUAUGUGUAACAAAUUAACAAACCACAAGCCACAGCAAGGAGGGCGCAACAACACAGCAAAUUUACAGCAAAUGGGCAGCGAAUGAAUAGAAAGAUCUAGGGAAUUUAUUUGAUUUUCUAUUUUUCUCUUUAUUCGGCUAUAAAUAAAGACCGAAUGUAAUUUGUAUGGUGAGGAUACAAAAUAGAAGGAAAAAGCGAUGAAAAACUAAGGUGAUUUAGAUUAUUUCUUUCUUUUCGAUUCUGCUCCUAUUUCACAAAUCUUUGUUACUGCACAUAAAAACAAAAAUCAAAAAAGAGAAAAGGACUUACUAGAGAGUUGGCUCCUUUGAAUCCUCACUUGAUUCGUCACAAUCAAACUUAGGUGACGAUUCUAAGGCUGGUGAGAGAAACUCGCGGACCUCUGGUUGAAUAGGGCCUUGAUUGGCCAUUACAUAACACGAUCCGUCGAGAAGAGAAAAGGCGUUCGAAUGGGAGAUUUUGGUUCAGCCGAGUGGAAGUGUUUGUUUUUUCUCCUUUAUUUUGAUUUUGAUAAUGUGGCCAAGUGCUUGACCUUAAGUUUCUUUUAGGUUUGAUUUUUGUGCAGAAUUCAAAACGGUGCAGUGUAAGUGGGGGAGAUCUACGUGGGCUGUAAUAUCCUGAAUUAGGGCUUAAUCGAAAUAGUGGUUUUGUGACCACAAAUCUGAGAUAGAAAUAAUUAUUUUAUAAUUAUUUUGAUGAUUAUGAUAUGAUUGCAUGAUUGUGUGAAAAAUUCGUGAUGAAAUUCUAUGCCGAAAGUGCUUAAAUUGAAAGUAGGGACUAAAUCGAAUAAGUUGCAAAACUUGCAUUCUAGAAGUUUUUAGCAUGAAAUUGUUUUGGAAUAUUAAUGAGGAGGUCUUAAAUAGAAAUUUGACCAAUUUUAAGUUCAUGGACAAAAUUGGGACAUGGAAGGAAUUUUUGGAAAGUUUAGUAGUAAGGGUAUUUUGGUCAUUUAGUUAUUAAAAUGAAUUAAAAACAAAAUUAAAAGCCAAUUUUUGUCCAUCUUCUUCAUUAGGCCGAAAUUUCAAGGGUUCUCCAUAGCUAGGGUUUGUUUCAAGCUUCCAAGCUACAUAGGAUGUGAUUCCAAGCCCCGUUUUUAAUGUUCAUUACGUUUUUGGAAUCCCAGUAGCUCGAUUAAGCUUAUGUUAGCAAUAAUUCAACCUAGGGUUUAUAUUUGGAAAAAUACCCAUAGCUGAAAUUUGUGUAUUUUGAUGUUUUAUGAUAGAAUAUGAGGUUUUAAAUUAUGUUAGACAACUUGUGCUACUCGGUUUUGAGUGAAAACGAGUAAAAGGGCUUAAUCGGUAAAAAUACCUAAUAGUCACAAGUAUAUGUUAGAGAGAGAAUUUGAUGUUGCCAUAGAAGGGAAAAGUGAUCAGCAUGUUAUAAAACAUAAGAAUAAGGAAUAAAGUUUAAUUCCCGAGCCUAGGGGCAAAAGUGUAAUUAUGCAAAAGUUUAGGGGCAAAAGUGUAAUAUUUCCAAAGUUCGUAUUAAAUGCUGUUUUGAUGAAUGUAUGUAUUAAAUAAGAUUAAUUUGGCAUCAUAGAUCAAGAGAAACGAGAUUCAAGUCGCGAUCGAGGAAAAGAAAAGAUUGUGGACUAAAUUGCAAAAUCUUUAUAUUUUGGUACCAAGGUAAGUUCAUGUGUAAAUAAUGUAGCAUAAUUGUUAUUUUUAAGUUAUUGAUGUUAAUUAUAUGAUAUGCUGAUUUUUUUUAUAGUGAAAUAAUAUGCUUUGUGGUUAAUGUUGAGUAAUAUGCAAAUUAUGUUUACUACUUGAUAAAUAUGAAUUGCUACCGAGUAUCGGUUCCGAUAUUCCAUGGAAGACGACAAAUGUGAGAUCGAGGGAAAAAGCCCGUUUGAACCUUAGGAAUAGAUUAGGAUACAAGUGACAUGUCACUAGGAUGGUUGAGCAUCCGAACUCGUUGAGUUGAGUCCGAGUUCACCUAUGGAUGCGAAUGUCCGAACUCGUUGAGUUGAGUCCGAGUUCGUGAGAUGUAACUAGGCAUCCGAACUCGUUGAGUUGAGUCCGAGUUCACUUAUGGAUGCGAACGCCCGAGCUCGUUGAGUUGAGUCCGAGUUCACUUAGGGGCGGGUUACAUGAUUUCUUGAUUACAUAUGAGGCACUUAUGUGCAAAUUAUCCGUGUAUCCGAGUUGUAUUCCGAUGUGUUCAACGGGUGAAAUUUCUAGUGAAAUGGAAGAACACUUAAGAUGCAAGUGACGUUUUGGUAAGUGUUGUGAAAUGGACACUUUGGACAGGUAUGUUCUUAACCCUCGGGUUGAAAAUAGAUACAAAAACGAUAAGGUGGUAAGAUGAUGAAUGAUGUUUAGAAAUAUGACAUAUGUUUUGGUGAUACCAUGCUAAAGUUGUUUGGUAUAUUUGUAUUGUUAUGUUACUUGUUAUUUACAUAUGAACUUACUACGCAUUUAUGCUUACUCCUUCCUUUUCAUUCACUGUAGUUUUGAACAAGCCGACUCAGGAAUCGGGACAGGUCGAAAGUUCGAUCACACUAUCCAAAGGACUUUCAUCUGGGUAAAUGGCUUGUAAAACUUAAGUAUGGCAUGUAUAGCAAUAUACUUAUUUUGUGUAAAUAAUUUUAUGAUAUGGCCAUGUUUGGUUGAGAAAAUGUUUGAUAUUGAUAAGUCAUGGUGAUGGCUAAUUUAGAUCAUGUUUGAUAUUAUGGAAGUUUAAUAGGUUAUCUAGUUCAUAAAAAUUCAUGGAAAGAUGAAACUUGCCUGAAAAUAGAAUAUUGCUGCAGCAAUGACAUGAAUUUGAAAAAUCACUAAAAAUAGUAUAAAUGGAACUAAAUAAUGAGUAAUUUAUGAAAUUGAAGCUUAAUGAGUCUAUUUUCAUGUGGAUUGAACAAAACAGGCAUAAAAUUUAUAUUUUAUGAGAUAUUUAAACUUUUGUGAAACAGGGCCAGAGUGAUUUCUGGAUCCCCUGUUCUGACUUUAAAAAUUCAUAAUAAAUUUUAAAAAAAUAAUUAUAAGUUUUUCUUUAUAUUUACAGAUUCCUUAUUGAGUCUAGUUUUAAGAAAAACAAACCUCGUAGUCAUUGAAAUUCUGUAUAGAGAGAUAUUUGAUUCGUAAUACACAGAUGUCAGAGUAGUCAAACCCUGAAACAGGGGAGACUUUAACUAAUAAACUGUACUAAUUGGCCCAACCAAAAAUUCUAUAAAAAAUUAGUAAAUAGAUAUAUGAGUCUAGAUUUAUGGAAAAUUUACAGAUCUUGAUUUCGAGUUUCGUAACUCUAGAUAUGAUUUUUCUUGUAACUGUGACGUGGGUAGUUAGAAAGCUGUGAAUGUAGAAACAAAUGAUUUGAAGUUCUUAAUUUGAUAAAUUAUGUUCGGUAACCCCUCAAGCUCGACUCCGGCGAUGGUUUCGGGUGUGGGGGCGUUAUAGUUGGUGGUAUCAGAGCAGGUUUAGUCAGUUCUCGAACUACGUGUUGUAUGUACGGAUUUUGCUAUACAUGCCAUAUGUAUGAAUUGUGAUAGUGUGACGACUUCUGACCUUUUUAAAUGAAUUUUUAUAUAGUAAAUGGAUCCCGAUCCAGCUGUGGCAGAUGAAGUAGAGAGUAAUGCGCCAGCUCCGGCUGAAGGGGCAGCGCCGACUGAAAACCCACCUCCUACUGUUGGUCAGGGAGGAGGAGAAAGGGAUCGGGAAGCCUUUCUCCAAAUGAUGAGUGCAUGGUACACUGAGUUCGUUCGUACGAACCCAAAUGUACGACCUCCCCCACCUCCCCCAAUUCCUCAACUAUGCCUCCAAUGCCUCAAGGAGUGGAUAUGAUAAAAUUUCACAGAACCCCUGUUGAUAGAAUUCGUAAACAAGGGGCUGAAGAAUUUAGAGCAAAUAUUGAUGAUGAUGCAGAGAAAGCAGAGUUCUGGCUUGAAAAUUCUAUCCGGGUAUUUGAUGAAUUAUCUUGUACACCUGAAGAAUGUUUGAAAUGUGCUACAUCUUUGUUGAGAGAUUCAACCUAUAAUUGGUGGAAGACUUUGAUUUCAGUGGUACCGAAAGAGAGGGUAACCUGGGAAUUCUUUCAAGAAGAGUUUCGGAAGAAAUAUAUUAGUGAAAGAUUUAUUGAUCAGAAAUGUAAAGAGUUUCUUGAGCUGAAGCAAGGUAAUAUGACAGUCUCAGAAUAUGAAAGAGAGUUUGUUCGAUUAAGUAAGUAUGCCAGGGAAUAUGUUCCUACAGAAGCCAAGAUGUGCCGACGAUUUGAAGACGGGCUUAACGAAGACAUUAAGGUAUUUGUUGGGAUCCUUGAACUAAAAGAAAUGGUGGUACUUGUCGAUCGAGCUUCAAGGCUGAAGAAUUUCUGAAGGAAAAGAAAAAGGUAGAAUCUGAAACACGAAAUUGGAAGAAAAGACCAAUGAGUAAUGCACCCUCACAGCAAAUCAGAAAGUCAAGAAAUAUGAAUCCUCGUUCCGAAGUUUCAGCUGGGCAAUCAUAUGAAAAUUUUAAGAAGCGAAAUUUGGGUCCUAAAUCUCAGACUACUUCUGCGGCUAGUGUGGGAAAUACGAGAUUUGUUAAACCCGAGUUCCAGCGGUGUGGUAGAAAUCAUUUUUGUCCGUGCAGAGCAAAUGAAUGUUUUCGAUGUGGUUCUCCAGAACAUUUUAUUAGAGACUGCCCAGAGAGAGCUGAGAAAGAAAAAUUUCAGAAUGUAAAAUCUAGUGGUGCAGACUCGAGGGGAAGGUAUUCGAGAAAAGCUGGAAGUGAAACAAGCAGUAAGAAUGUAGCCAGAGAUGCAGCAGUUAGAUCUGAAGGAAAAGCUCCAACUAGAACCUAUGCUAUUAAAGCGCGUGAAGAUGCUUCCUUACCCGAUGUGAUUACCGGUACAUUUUCUCUUUAUGAUACUAAUGUUAUUGCUUUGAUUGAUCCCGGUUCUACUCAUUCAUAUGUAUGCAUGAAACUGGUGUCUAGUAUGAAUAUACCUGUUGAGAACACCGAAUUUAUGAUUAGAGUGUCGAACUCGUUAGGCAAAUGCAUGAUAGUUGAUAAAGUAUGCAAGAAAUGCCCUUUAAUGAUUCGGGGUCAUUACUUUCUGGCCGACUUGAUGUUGUUGCCGUUUGAUGAAUUUGAUGUUAUUUUGGGUAUGGAUUGGUUGACAUUGCAUGAUGCUAUAGUAAAUUGCAAAGAAAAGGUUAUAGAAUUAAAAUGUGAAAGUGGUGAAAUCUUGCGGGUUGAACCAGAAAAAUCAGAGGCAAUAUUUUGUAUGAUUUCUUCGAUGUCGGCUCAGAGAUAUUUGAGAAAGGGUUAUGAAGCUUAUUUGGCGUAUGUAAUUAAUACAAAAGAAGUUGAAAAGAAAGUUGAAUCAGUGCCGGUUGUGUGUGAAUUUGCGGACGUAUUUCCAGAAGAAUUGCCGGGUUUGCCUCCAGUCAGGGAAGUAGAAUUUGGUAUAGAUUUGAUAUCGGGAACAGCUCCGAUCUCGAUUGCUCCAUAUAGAAUGGCACCAACAGAGUUGAAAAAAUUAAAGUCGCAGUUGCAAGAGUUGACUGAUAAAGGCUUUGUGAGACCAAGUUUUUCACCUUGGGGUGCUCCCGUGUUAUUUGUGAAAAAGAAGGAUGGUUAUAUGAGAUUAUGUGUUGAUUAUCGGCAGUUAAACAAGGUGGCAAUCAAAAACAAGUAUCCAUUGCCGAGAAUUGAUGAUUUGUUUGAUCAGCUAAAAGGAGCAACAUGGUUUUCAAAGAUUGACUUGAGAUCUGGGUAUUAUCAGCUGCGAGUAAAAAGAGUCAGAUGUGCCUAAAACUGCUUUUAGAACAAGGUACGGUCAUUAUGAAUUUUUAGUUAUGCCAUUCGGGUUGACAAAUGCUCCUGCUGUGUUUAUGGAUUUAAUGAAUCGCAUAUUUCGGCCAUACUUGGACAGAUUUGUUGUGGUGUUUAUAGAUGAUAUUUUAAUUUAUUCAAAAGAUGAGACAGAGCAUGCUGAGCAUUUGAGGAUAGUUUUGCAAACUUUGAGAGAUAAGCAGCUGUAUGCUAAGUUUAGUAAAAGUGAAUUUUGGCUCCGGGAAGUUGGAUUUUUGGGUCAUAUUGUUUCAGGUGAUGGUAUACGGGUUGAUCCUAGUAAAAUUUCAGCCAUUGUUGAUUGGAAACCACCGAAAAAUGUAACUGAAGUUAGGAGUUUCUUGGGGCUAGCUGGGUAUUAUCGGCGGUUCGUAAAUGAAUUUUCUAUAAUUGCUGCUCCUAUGACUAGACUACUCCGAAAGGAUGUUAAAUUUGAAUGGACGAAAGAAUGUCAACAGAGUUUCAAAGAAUUGAAAAAGUUAUUAACUGAAGCACCAGUGUUGAUACAACCCGAAUUAGGUAAAGAAUUUGUGGUGUAUAGUGAUGCUUCUCUAAAUGGUUUGGGGUGUGUACUCAUGCAAGAAGGAAAAGUGGUGGCUUAUGCUUCGAGGCAGUUAAAACCUCAUGAGAGGAAUUAUCCUACUCACGAUUUGGAAUUGGCUGCAGUGGUGUUUGCUUUGAAGAUUUGGCGACAUUAUUUGUAUGGUGAAAAGUGCCGAGUAUAUACCGAUCACAAAAGUCUUAAAUACUUGAUGUCACAAAAAGACUUGAAUUUGAGACAGCGAAGAUGGUUAGAGUUAUUGAAAGAUUACGAGCUUGUUAUUGAUUAUCAUCCAGGAAAAGCGAAUGUGGUUGCCGAUGCUUUAAGCAGAAAGUUGUUGUUUGCUUUGAGAGUUAUGAACGCUCAGUUGAAAAUUUCAGAUGACGGUUCGAUUCUAGCAGAGUUAAGAGCAAGACCGAUGUUUUUACAAGAGAUUUUUGAAGCUCAAAAAAAUGGUCAAGAUUUGCUAGCCAAAAGAAAACAGUGUGAAGCUAAUACGGGAUCAGAUUUCAGAAUCGGUUCUGAUGGUUGUUUGAUGUUUAAAAAUUGGAUUUUUGUAUCGAAAAAUGAUGAGUUGAUUCAAAAGAUUUUGCAUGAAGCACAUAAUAGUUGUUUGGCGGUUCAUCCGGGCAGUACGAAGAUGUAUAAUGACUUAAAGAAAAUGUACUGGUGGAGUGGAAUGAAAAGAGAUAUUUUCGAGUUUGUAUCAAAGUGCUAAGUUUGUCAACAAGUGAAAGCUGAACACUAGGUACCUUCGGGAUUACUUCAGCCUAUUAUGGUUCCUGAAUGGAAAUGGGAUAGGAUUACUAUGGAUUUUAUAUCAGGGUUGCCGUUAACUCCAGGGAAGAAAAAUGCCAUCUGGGCAAUAGUUGACAGACUGACUAAAUCGGCUCAUUUUAUUCCGGUACGUACAGAUUAUUCUCUUAAUAAGUUGGCUGAAUUGUAUAUCCAAGAGAUUGUUAGACUUCAUGGGAUACCUUUGUCAAUCAUUUCGGAUAGAGAUCCGAGGUUUACCUCGCGGUUUUGGCAAAAGUUGCAAGAGGCAUUAGAUACAAAGUUAAAUUUUAGCACUGCCUUUCAUCCACAAACUGAUGGACAAUCAGAGAGAGUAAUUCAGAUUCUUGAAAACAUGCUCAGAUGUUGCGUAUUGGAAUUUCAAGAUAGUUGGGAAAGGUACUUACCAUUGGUAGAAUUUGCUUAUAAUAAUAAUUAUCAGACGAGUUUGAAGAUGGCACCUUAUGAAGCAUUAUAUGGUCGUAAAUGUCGGAUGCCAUUGUAUUGGACUGAACUCAAGGAAAAUCAGAUUUAUGGAGUUGAUUUAAUAAAAGAAACCGAAGAAAAGGUGAAAGUGAUUCGAGAUUGUUUGAAAGCUGCUUCAGAUAGACAGAAAUCUUAUGCGGAUUUGAAACGAAAAGAAAUGGAGUUUCAAGUUGGUGAUAAGGUAUUUUUGAAAGUGUCUCCAUGGAAGAAAGUCCUUAGAUUUGGACGAAAUGGUAAGUUAAGUCCGCGUUUUAUUGGACCAUAUGAAAUAAUUGAAAAAGUUGGACCGGUAGCAUAUCGACUAGUGUUACCACCCGAAUUAGAGAAGAUUCAUGAUGUGUUUCACAUAUCUAUGUUACGCCGGUAUCGUUCGAAUCCUUCACAUAUAAUUUCACCGACAGAAAUUGAACUGCGACCGGAUAUGACUUAUGAAGAAGAACCGAUUAAGAUUUUAGCUCGAGAAGUCAAACAACUAAGAAAUAAAAGUGUUGCACUUGUGAAAGUGUUGUGGCAAAAGCAUGGGGUAGAAGAGACUACAUGGGAACCUGAAGAAACUAUGAGAAACCAAUAUCCACACCUGUUUACCGGUAAGAUUUUCGAGGAUGAAAAUCCUUAAAAGGGGGGAGAGUUGUAAUAUCCUGAAUUAGGGCUUAAUCAGAAUAGUGGUUUCGUGACCAGAAAUUCGAGAUAGAAAUAAUUAUUUUAUAAUUAUUUUGAUGAUUAUGAUAUGAUUGCAUGAUUGUGUGAAAAUUUCGUGAUGAAAUUCUAUGCCUAAAGUGCUUAAAUUGAAAGUAGGGACUAAAUCGAAUAAGUUGCAAAACUUGCAUUCUAGAAGUUUUUAGUAUGAAAUUGUUUUGGAAUAUUAAUGAGGAGGUCUUAAAUAGCAAUUUGACCAAUUUUAAGUUCAUGGACAAAAUUAGGACAUGGAAGGAAUUUUUGGAAAGUUUAGUAGUAAGGGUAUUUUGGUCAUUUAGUUAUUAAAAUGAAUUAAAAACAAAAUUAAAAGCCAAUUUUUUUCCAUCUUCUUCAUUAGGCCGAAAUUUCAAGGGUUCUCCAUAGCUAGGGUUUGUUUCAAGCUUCCAAGCUGCAUAGUAAGUGAUUCCAAGCCCCGUUUUUAAUGUUCAUUACGUUUUUGGAAUCCCGGUAGCUCGAUUAAGCUUAUGUUAGCAAUAAUUCAACCUAGGGUUUAUAUUUGGAAAAAUACCCAUAGGUGAAAUUUGUGUAUUUUAAUGUUUUAUGAUAGAAUAUAAGGUUUUAAAUUAUGUUAGACAACUUGUGCUACUCGGUUUUGAGUGAAAACGAGUAAAAGGGCUUAAUCGGCAAAAAUACCUAAUAGUCACAAGUAUAUGUUAGAGAGAGAAUUUGAUGUUGCCAUAGAAGGGAAAAGUGAUCAGCAUGUUAUAAAACAUAAGAAUAAGGAAUAAAUUUUAAUUCCCGAGCCUAGGGGCAAAAGUGUAAUUAUGCAAAAGUUUAGGGGCAAAAGUGUAAUUUUUCCAAAGUUCGUAUUAAAUGCUGUUUUGAUGAAUGUAUGUAUUAAAUAAGAUUAAUUUGGCAUCAUAGAUCAAGAGAAACGAGAUUCAAGUCGCGAUCGAGGAAAAGAAAAGAUUGUGGACUAAAUUGCAAAAUCUUUAUAUUUUGGUACCAAGGUAAGUUCAUGUGCAAAUAAUGUAGCAUAAUUGUUAUUUUUAAGUUAUUGAUGUUAAUUAUAUGAUAUGCUGAUUUUUUUUAUAGUGAAAUAAUAUGCUUUGUGGUUAAUGUUGAGUAAUAUGCAAAUUAUGUUUACUACUUGAUAAAUAUGAAUUGCUACCGAGUAUCGGUUCCGAUAUUCCAUGGAAGACGACAAAUGUGAGAUCGAGGGAAAAAGCCCGUUUGAACCUUAGGAAUAGAUUAGGAUACAAGUGACAUGUCACUAGGAUGGUUGAGCAUCCGAACUCGUUGAGUUGAGUCCGAGUUCACCUAUGGAUGCGAAUGUCCGAACUCGUUGAGUUGAGUCCGAGUUCGUGAGAUGUAACUAGGCAUCCGAACUCGUUGAGUUGAGUCCGAGUUCACUUAUGGAUGCGAACGCUCGAGCUCGUUGAGUUGAGUCCGAGUUCACUUAGGGGCGGGUUACAUGAUUUCUUGAUUACAUAUGAGGCACUUAUGUGCAAAUUAUCCGUGUAUCCGAGUUGUAUUCCGAUGUGUUUAACGGGUGAAAUUUCUAGUGAAAUGGAAGAACACUUAAGAUGCAAGUGACGUUUUGGUAAGUGUUGUGAAAUGGACACUUUGGACAGGUAUGUUCUUAACCCUCGGGUUGAAAAUAGAUACAACAACGAUAAGGUGGUAAGAUGAUGAAUGAUGUUAAGAAAUAUGACAUAUGUUUUGGUGAUACCAUGCUAAAGUUGUUUGGUAUAUUUGUAUUGUUAUGUUACUUGUUAUUUACAUAUGAACUUACUAAGCAUUUAUGCUUACUCCUUCCUUUUCAUUCACUGUAGUUUUGAACAAGCCGGCUCAGGAAUCGGGACAGGUCGAAAGCUCGAUCACACUAUCCAAAGGACUUUCAUCUGGGUAAAUGGCUUGUAAAACUUAAGUAUGGCAUGUAUAGCAAUAUACUUAUUUUGUGUAAAUACUUUUAUGAUAUGGCCAUGUUUGGUUGAGAAAAUGUUUGAUAUUGAUAAGUCAUGGUGAUGGCUAAUUUAGAUCAUGUUUGAUAUUAUGGAAGUUUAAUAGGUUAUCUAGUUCAUAAAAAUUCAUGGAAAGAUGAAACUUGCCUUAAAACAGAAUAUUGCUGCAGCAAUGACAUGAAUUUGAAAAAUCACUAAAAAUAGUAUAAAUGGAACUAAAUAAUGAGUAAGUUAUGAAAUUGAAUCUUAAUGAGUCUAUUUUCAUGUGGAUUGAACAAAAUAGGCAUAUAAAUUAUAUUUUAUGAGAUAUUUAAACUUUUGUGAAACAGGGCCAGAGUGAUUUCUAGAUCCCCUGUUCUGACUUUAAAAAUUCAUAAUAAAUUUUAAAAAAAUAAUUAUAAGUUUUUCUUAAUAUUUACAGAUUCCUUAUUGAGUCUAUUUUUAAUAAAAACAAACCUCGUAGUCAUUGAAAUUCUGUAUAGAGAGAUAUAUGAUUCGUAAUACACAGAUGUCAGAGCAGUCAAACCCUGAAACAGGGGAGACUUUAACUAAUAAACUUUAGUAAUUGGCCUAACCAAAAAUUCUAUAAAAACAUUAGUAAAUAGAUAUAUGAGUCUAGAUUUAUGGAAAAUUUACGGAUCUUGAUUUCGAGUUUCGUAACUCUAGAUAUGAUUUUUCUUGUAACUGUGACACGGGUAGUUAGAAAGCUGUGAAUGUAGAAACAAAUGAUUUGAAGUUCUUAAUUUGAUAAAUUAUGUUCGGUAACCCCUCAAGCUCGACUCCGGCGACGGUUUCGGGCGUGGGGGCGUUACAUGGGAAAACCUAAUCCAUAGGCUGGAUCCUUGCUUUGGUACUUUAAAUGGUUAAUUUGCGCGGAUGGUCCCUUGCCUUCGCGCUAAAUUUUUAAUUGGUCCUUAUUCACAUUUUAGUUGUUUCAAUUUUUUCCCCUUAGAAUUUACAUUGCAUAUUGAUAUCUGGAGCAUUUAUCUUUUUCAAUCCUCUCACAUUCGCGUGCACUCCUUUUGAGUCCCUAUUUCGGUUUCAAAAGCUUAUUUUCUUUAUUAAUUAAUCUUUUUAAGUUUGAUUUUGUUUCAAUUAAGAUCUUUUUCUCAUUUUAAUUUGUAUAGUUCAUUUUUUAAAAUACAUUUGGCAUUCAUCUUUUAUUUCUUCUAUACAUUUUAAAUUACCUUGAUAAAUUUAUUUUGUUUUUAUUGUAAAGUUUUUUUAUAUCAAAUUAUUUUAACAUUUGUACAAUAUUUCUUUAAAUGUUCUAUAUGUAUUUGUACAUGUAUUAUUUUUAUUGAGAUUUUAACUUAUAAUGCUUAUUAUUUAAAAUUCAUUUAUUUUUUAUUUGAUCUGUGUUAAUAUUUUAUUUUUAUUUUUAUUUUUUUGUGUUUUAUUUGUAAUUAGGCUGUAGUUUUUAUAUUAUAGAUUUUUAAUACUUUGCAUAGCAUUUAACUCAAAUCUUUUUCUAUACUUGCACCUAUAUUAUUUUAAAUUGAAUCUUCUAUUCAUUAUGAAUUUUAAAAAUCCAUUUAGUUUUUUUAUGUGUGUCAAAUUAUUUUAAUACUUUAUUUUAUAAAAUCAUUAUCUUGAGUUUUGUAUUUAUAUUAUAUUAUUUUAACUAUUAUGUAAUGUCUCAUUUAAAUAUUUUUUGCAUAUAUUUUUUUAAUGGUUAAAUCAUUAUUUUAAAAAUCAUUUUCCUUUUGUUUAUAAAAUUAUUGUUCGAAAAUUCUUUAUAUUAUAUUCUUUUAAUAUAUUAGUUAGUAUUUCAUUUUAAUGUUUCUUUAUAUAUAUUUGUACAUAUAUAGCAAAAUUAAUUUCAUCUUGUAGGCAUUUCCAUGUUAUUUUUAUAAAUAAUUAUUUUUAAAUUUGUAUAUAAUUUAUAAGAUAAUCUAAUUUUAUAUGUAUUAUUAAUUUCAUAUUUUGUUUAUAUAAAUAAUUAUUCCUAUAUCAUAUGUGCAUGUCUCAAAAAAAAAAACUAUUAUGUGAACUAUACCUCAUCAUGUAUUUUUCUUCUUUUGUAUGUAAUAUAUUAUUUAAGUUAUCAUGUGAAUUAUCAAUUUUUGAAUGAAUUUGUGUAUUAAAUAUUUUAUAUAUAAUUUGAUUUGAUCUUUUUAUUUUAUAAUAACUAUUUCGAUAAACAUAUAUCCCAAGUUUUUAUGCAAAUUUGUUAACUUAUAUAUAUUAUGUGGUCAUUAAUUCAUCAUUAUGUUGAAAAUGUCUUAUACUAUAUUGAUUUCUAAUUCCAUUUUAUUUUAUACAUAUUUUUGUGCAUCAUUUUAUAUUGUGCCAUGUUAAUUAUUGUGUAUAUUAUCUUGUAUUAAUUAUUCACUAUCCAUGCUUAAAGAAUUUUUGGUCAUAUUGUGCUUGGAAUAAUUGUACAUAAUUGUUAAAUGUAUUAAGCGAGGUUGAACUUUGUGUAUAUUAUUUCAUAUUCAUUACCCCCUUUUUUAUAUGUAUAUACAUUUUGUUGCAAUGCAUUAAAUAUUUCAUUUAUUUUAAAACAAAUAAACGUGUUUUUUAGAAAAUUUCCAAUUUUCUGUUAUUCAAAGAUUCUAAAAUAAGGUAAUAUCUAAUAUUUGGGGAAUUCGAAAAAUCGUGCUCAAUCGUACUGGGUAUGACUUUUCCGGUGAACCAAAUAUUUGGAUACCCUUUUAUAAUUUUAAUGUAUGAAUUUUUCAAAAGUAAAAAAUCAAUCGCAUCUUAAAGGUAUAAGGGAUCGUAUCCAAUCGUACUGGGUAUGAAACUGCAUAUCUUUGAAACGAGAGAUUUUUGACCGCUAAUUUGAGCUAUUCAAACAUUUUUUUUAAAAAAUCAUACUUCAGAAAAUCUUUUCUUUUAAAACUUUUGAUAUAAGGACAACAUCAAAUCAAUUUGGUACCAAUUCUUGGGCGUAAUGAGGGUGCUAACCCUUCCUCAUGCGUAACCGACUCCCGAACCCAUUUUUUUAUUUUACAUGAACCAAAUUUAUUUUUCAUUUAAUAAAGCGUUUUAGUAGGUGAUCCAAUCACGCCUAAAUCAAGAGAUUGGUGGCGACUUCACAUUUUUGUUUUCAAAAGUCGAUCCCCAUUGCUUUCAAAAUAAAAAGGGUUUCGAUAACGGCCUAGCCCAUGAAAUCGCUCAUGGUGGCCUCCACGACCAAACACCCAUGUUUAUGCGUUCACACUACCACGCGAGCGAGCGCACAUUCGUGUGGCAGCGACAGUCUCUUAUUUUAGCUUUCGCCGUUUUACAAGUAGGGUAGUGUUUUUACACAUCUGAUGUGAUUUGAAGAUAACCGCAUUCCAAAUAUUCCUAUACCUGAAUUCAUUCAAAAGGACAUUUACUCAGUUGCAUAUUUCAUAGAACAAAUGGAACUUAAAGGAGUUCCUAAGCGAUCCAAAUAGUUACUUCUCCUUACCAAAAGCCAAUCAAAAUCGCACCCUUGAUUCCUAGGAGGCACACCAAUCAACUUGAUCUCUACCGACACGAAGGUCAUAACCCCUUUAUUAAACCUGUACUUGGAUAAAACAAUCUUGACUAAUCCCUACUUACCAAUUAACAACAGUACAGAGUAUAAUUCGGUGAUGUAGUGAACUAAGGCCAAAGAGAAACUGAACUAAAAUAGUAAGCAGAGGGGGUAACAAUAGGAAGGAAAAAGAAAUAGUGCUCAGGAAUGAGAGAAGUCAAAAGGGGCAGAAGUGAAACAGAAACUUACUUACCAAUAUUUGACCAAGGAUAAGCACUAGGGAGAAAGAAUGAGGAGAAUCGUGCGCCUGAACCCAAUCGAUCGAAGAAUGGUUGCCAAGAGGGAUUGCCCAAAGCCGAAAGACGAGAAAGGGGAGAAGAGAAAUAUUCGGCCAACACACAAGGGGUAUUCGAUCAAACAAAGAUAAGAUAAAGAGAAGGGCAAUAAAGGGGAAAGAACAAUUGCAAAAGGAGUAAGGGAGAAGAGAAAAACCGAAAUAGGCCUAAAAUGCAAGAUACCUUAGAGGUCAGUAGCAGUAUUCGGCUAUCAAAACAAAAUGUAAAAAGAACCUGAAGGCAAUCGUCAAAAACUGAAAAUGAGAAGAGCAAUCUAGCCAAGGCCGAAUUCUGAAUGAUAGAGUUCAAAUUCAGCACUACCUUCCUUUGAUCCAUUCCUUGAAAAUCGCCUUACAUUACUCUACCCACUAAUUUGAACUCCACACAACCUCUUCUAUCUAAAUUUUCCUCCCCAAAACACUCCCCAAAUCCCCCUAACAACCGAAAUUCCACAAUAAUCUUCCAAAAUUUUGCCACAACUCCUCACACUCUUCAAACACACAAGUUUCGGUCAAACUAGAACUCUCCCAUGGCCAACAAUAAAAUAAAACACCUCCAUGCGCCUACCAGUAUUCGAACCUCAGACCUUAAGUAACUACCACACGCCACUUAUCCCCUAAACCAGCAGGGCCAUUCUGUCAUGUUUUUCCCACAUUAAUUUAUAAGCCUAUUGACUAGAGACAGGGAUUAUUCAACUAAAAAAAAAUUUGCACAAUCCAAGGCUUGAACUCAGGACUUCUCCAACACUUCUCAGGACACUUAACCACUGAGGCAAACACUCAUUUGUAUCACUUUAUUGCACAACUAAACAUUUUUCUACAACCUCCUAACUGUUUCCAUGCUCGAGGCCUAAUACUUCCAAGCCCAAAAUUUGAGGCGUUACAAUUUCAUGAAAAUUUCAUUCAAAAAUUUUGACGUUUGGGCACUCAAUUUGGUGAAAAGGAUUAAAUUGUAAAAAGUGUAAAACUUGAGUUCUAGAAGCUAAAGGUGUCUAGUUGCUAUGAAAUUUUAAAUUGGAGGUCCUUAUAUGGCAAUUAGACCAUUGGUUAAUUUUUUAGACAAAAAUGGACAUGAAAUAGGUGAAAUAGAAUUUUUUAAGUUAGGGGCAUUUUGGUCAUUUGGUAAUUAAAAUAAUAAAAAGGGAAAAUAAAAGCCAAAUUUAUGCUCAUCUUCAACCUUUGGUUGAAAUUUGCAUGGAAUCCAUGGCUAGGGUUUUGUUCAAGCUUUCCAAGCUUAAUAGUAAGUCCUUCCUUGCCCCAUUUUUAAUGAUUUUUACGUUUUUGAAAUCCUCGUAACAAGAUCUAGCUAUUUCUACCAUUUAUUUAAGCUAGAUUUGAUGUUUGAAAAUUUACCCAUGUGCUACAUGGGUGUAUUUUGAUAUUUAAGGUAGGAAUAUGAAUGUUUUUUGUGUGUUAAAUGACUUUUACUGAGUAGUUUUCAGUGAAAACGCUAAAAAGGAUUAAAUUGUAAAAGUUAUAAAAUUUGUCAAAAAAGUGUGAUUUAGUGGAAAUUGUGGGCUGCUAUAGUUAUGAAAAUGAUUCAGCUAGGCUUAAAGUACAAAUAAAUUGAAUAAAUUUCAUUUUACGAGCCUAGGGGCUAAAUUGCAAAUAUGUGAAAGUUUAGGGGUAAAAAUGUAAAUUUGUAAAAGUAUGGUUUUUGGGUCAAUUUGAUUAAUUUGAGUAAUAAAUAAGUUAUAUUUGAAAUGUUAGAUCAAGAAAACUGAGAUUCAGGCUUAAAUUGGGAAAGUACGAGAUUAUGGACUAAAAUGGAAUAAUUAGCUGUGCUCGGAUUCGAGGUAAGUUUGUAUGAUAAUAAUAAUAAUUCAAUGUUAUGUUUGAAUUAUAUUCCUUACUAUUAUUGCAUAUAUUGUAUGAUUUAAUAUAUUGGAAAAGUUGAUGGAAUGGUGUAUAUGAUGUGGAAAUAUGACAUGGAAAAAUAUUAUAUGAAAAUGCAAGAAAAUGAUGAUACAUGACAAGUGAUAUAUGAAAUAUAUGAUAUAUGUUAUGUAAAUUCUUAAAUGCUUAUUUGCUAUUUGAGUUAUGUCUUAUUAUGCUAUGAAUGGGCAAUUGGUACUAUGGAUAGUGGGAUCGACACUUCAAGUAAGUUCGACAGAGAUGUGGUAUCAAAAAAUCUUGUUUGAACCUUAGGAAUAGUCUAGGAUACAAGUGACAUGUCACUAGGAAUAUAGAAAUCCGAACUCGUUGAGUUGGUCCGGGCUCGUGAUAUGUAUGAGACAUCUAAGCUCAUUGAGUUGGUCCGAGUUCAUUAUGGAUGCAAUACAUGUAAUUGGGUUCCGAGCAAUGGUCUUGUGUGUCCUACUGGUGGCUAGGUAAUCCUUGAGUUGGUCGGAUACCUGACAGCUUAUGUGAGCAGCCCAUGUAGCUACACCUUGACUGAUAGCUUUUAUGAGCAAGCCCGUGAGUAGUUCCAUUGCGAGCGUUACUGUUAUGAGGUAGGUUUGGCUACGUAUGUUUAUGUGGAACUUAUGUGCAAGUUUUCGCAUAUCCAAUAAUAUUCUGGGUGUUCAACGGGUAAUGCAAUGGAUAAUGUGAUGAAAGACCCAAGGAGGGCAUGUUAAAGAAGGUAUGGUUAUGUGAUAUACUAUGAGUGAGAACAUGUAACAGCCCGAUUUAAAUAGCCUGAUUUAGACCCUAAUCGGAACGGUGGUUUCGGGACCACAAAUCCGAGUCAGAAAAAUAUUUAAAAAUUAUUUUCUAUGUUUAUUUUGUGUGCAUUUAUAUCUAUGAAAUUUUUGUGAUUUAAUUUUGUCGUUUAGGUGUCCGAUUAAAUAAAAGGACUUAAUCGCGUAAAUUAAAAAUUUGAUAGUUAAAAGCAUAAAGGGCUAAAUUGAUAAUGGCUUAUUAAAUGAAAGACUUUAAGUUGUAAAUUACCCAUUUCCAUAAUAAGUGGAUGGUAAAAGACAGGGAUUAUAUAGUUUAUUAUUAUUUCAUUAAGGUUAUUUAAGUAAUUUAUUUAAUAAACAUUUAAUAGUUAAAAUAAAGUUAUGAAAUUCAUUACAUUCAUUUUGUUCUUUGACCGAAACUUAAGAAAAGAAAAGAAGAAAGAAUAAAAGCUAGGGCUCGGCUUAUUUGGAGCUCCAUCAAGGUUCAUUUUCUUGUCGAUUUUUGACAAUUUCUUCGUUUUUGAGAUCGUUGCUUAGCAAUCUUCAAAACCCAAGCUUUAAUUUUUGAUUUUGAUGAAUAUUUUGAGUUGUGCCAUUGUUGAUAGCUUGUGAUUUUUUUUUUGUUUGAUGAUGAAAAAUGAAAGAUAUGUUUCAGAUUAACAUAUUUUGUAUUGGAGUUUUUGAUGAUUUUGAGUAAUUAGGACUUAAUAGCAAAAAUAAUAAUUUGAGGGACUAAAAUGUGAAAUUUAUAAAAUAUGUGGACUUGUAUGAGCAUGGGGGCUAUUCAGCCUAACAUGGGUGCUGUGAAAUUUUGUGUAUUUUAUGUUUUGUGCAAUAGACUAAAUUGUAAAAAUUGUAAAUGUUAGGGGUAAAAUAGUAAUUUUCCUAUUUAUGUGUUUUUUGAGCUAAAUUGAAUGAAAAUAUGUUUGAAUGAGCUUAAUUUGAAUAUGUUUAGAUCAAGAACCAAAGAAAUCGAAUUUGGACCGGGGAAAAACGAAAGUUGUCGACUAGCAGCCCCGUCCUAUUUUACGAUGUCCGAGGUAAGUUUAUAAGCAAAUAGACGUGUUUAUUGAUAACUUUAACGUUAUGUUUACAUCCUGUUAAGAAAUGUUAAGUUAAAAUUAUGGUAUGAUCGAAUGUGAUUGAAUAUGGUUGCCACACUUCCAAGAGCUAUUCGACUGAAAUACGACAUCCGAAAGCCCCGUACGAACCUUAGGAAUAGCUAGGAUACAUAUUUCAUGACAUAGAAUUCCAAUAUAUGUGUGCAAGUAAGAGCAUGGCAUCGAUUUGUGGUUUCUGAUAUGUGUUUACGAGUAAGACCCUGUCCAGGAUAGUGGCAUCGUUUUGUGGCUAAAUGUAAGACCACGUCUCAGACGUUGGCAUUGUACGAUUUAUGUGAUUAUCCGAGUGUCUUAUCCAAUUCCGAAUGGUUCAUCGGGCAAGGGUAAUCAUGUACAGAUUGUAUGAUAUGAGCUAAUGGCCAGGUAUGAGUUAGUUCGAUAAUUAACAAAAAUAAGGUAAAUGUAUUUGGCCUAUUGCACAUUAUUGAAUAAAUGUAAAUUUAGUAUAUGUGUAUUUAUGAGUAUUCGGUCAUGUGACUAAUAUAAGUACUUGAGACUAUAUUAUAAUCUAUGAGUUUAUGUAUGUAUGGGUAUGUGAACUAAGAACUUAGUGGAUAUUCGACCUUGAAAGCUAAAUAAUGAUUUGUAACUUUUGAUCAUACAAGCAUUCAGGUAAAGUGAUGAUUUAACUAUGUAUAAAAUGCAUAUGAUUAUAUAUAAGUAACAUGGAUGUAUUCGUUCCUAGAAGCGAAUGUAAAUUGAUGUAAUAAUUCUAGUAUAAAUUAGUUAAGCCGAAUAAAUCAUUGAGUAGUUGAUUUGCUUAUGACUUACUAAGCUUUGAGAGCUUAUUCCUUGUGUUUUGUCUACUUUGUUUUAUAGAUUUUGAAGUCAAGCUACAACCUCGGGAGCAGUCAGCCAAGUUCAUCACACUAUCUACUGUUUUGGUACCUUCAAACUAAAUUUAAGUUAUGGCAUGUAUAGGCUGGUUUUGGAGUUUGUUAUUUUGGAAAUGAAUGUAUAUUUAAGCUAUGCGAAAAUGGAUAAAUUUUUAAGUAUAUUUAAGCUAUGCAAAAAUGGAUAAAUUUUUAAGUUAGUCUUGAAUGUGGUUUGGUUGUGGUUAUUGCUCUCUAUAUGAAUUCGAUUAUGCAUGAUCAUGGAAUGAGCUCAUUAAGGUUAACAUGCUGUUAGUGAAUUAAGUUUAAUUAAGAUUAUGUGUGUUUUGUGCAUCGCAAUAAUUGAUGAAUUGGGCAGCAUCUUUGGUUAAUCCGAUUAUAGUUUUUGUGUGAGUAUAAACAUAUAUAUGGAAGCGGUAGUUAUAUUUUGUUAAGGUGUUGUUAUAUGUAUUGGUACAGGGAAUAUUCGGCUAUGUCUUAUUGUGAAUUGGAUUGAUUUUGUUACAGGUUUUAUAUGAUAUGUAUGGUUGCUUGGCAUGGCUCAUUAAUGAUUUAUAUUUUGAUAAAUCGUUUGUCAUAUGAGUUGAAUUAAAAAUAAUGUCUUGGUUGAUUUAUAUUCGGCCUUGAUACUUAAAAUGUCUUGGGUACUUUGUUAUAUGUUUAUGAGGUGAUUAUAAUGGAUAAUGUACAUGCGUGGUCGGUUAUAAGACAAGAGUGAAUGAGAUGGUUGUAACCAACUUAAUUAUAGGUAUAAGUUUAUGUAUUUAUUUGCGCAUAGGAUGGAUUAACUUAUCCAUGAUAUGGUAGUUGUUUGUACUAUUACAUUGGGUAAAUAAUGCAGUCAGAAGUAUGCAUGAAUGUAAUAAUAUGAAGCCUAUGUGAAUUUUGAUUGCCAUAUCGACAUUAUAGGGUGUAUAUUUUUACCAUGCGAGUUGGCUUGAAUUUCGUAAUAAAAAGUGCAUUUAUAUUCGACUAGGAAAGGAAGAAACAUACACACAUGCAGUGAUAUAACGUUUGUGGUUCGGUGAUUAAGUGUUUAUAUAUGUAUGCAUAUUUGAAUGGGUGAAUUUACCUAUAUUAAUGCAUGAAACAUGUAAACUCAUGCCAACUAUGAAAUCAUGCUGCAUAAAUGAUAUAUAUAUUGGAAAUUUGUAUUGUCCAACAUGUAAACUAGCACUUAUGCAAUUCUUUUAUAUUAAAAGGAUAUAAUAGGUCUGAUGUUUAAUUAAUAAAAUUGUUGGUUAGUUAUUUAUAUUCCUAUAAAUAAAUAGUUUGCUUUGACAUAUAUUGGAUUAUGUUUUAAUUAUGUUGUAAUAUGAUCAAUAUGAUUUUAAGUCUGAUAACAGAUUAAGAUAUGAAUAAUAAUGUUAUUUUGGAUUUUGAAUUGAAAUUUGUGAUGUAUGAUUAUAUGAACUGUGAUACGAUUGGUAAUGCCUCAUAGCUCUACUCCGACAACGGAUAUGGGUUAGGGAUGUUACAUUUUAUUGGUAUCGGAGCCACAGUUUAGUCGGUUCUAGGACUACGUAAUGUGUGUGAGAUUAGCUAUACAUGCCAUAAUUAUAUACUAUGAUAGUGUGAUGACUUCUGACAUUUGAAAUGUGUUUUCAUAUAGUAAAUGGAUCCCGACAGAGUGGUAGCUGAUGAUGUCGAGAGUGUAGUGCCUGCUCUCGCGCAAGGGAUAGCGCAGGCUGAUUCUCGACUGACUUCGAGUAAUCCAAAAAGUGAGGCUAAACAAACCUUCUAUCAAAUGAUGAAUGACUGGUUCACUCAAUAUAUUCGGACUAACCCGGCUGCACAACAACCUCUACCCCCGACUCAUCCAUCUUUCGUCCUGCUGUACCUUAAGUAAGUGAUCCAUUGCGAUUGAGUAGACCACCUGUUGAUAAAAUCAGAAAACAUGCAGCUGAAGAGUUCAAAGCCGCUGUUGAUGAUGAUGCUGAGUCGGCUGAGUUCUGGCUUGAUAAUACCAUCCGUGUGUUUGAUGAGUGUAACGCCCCAAAAAUCUUGAAACCCAAAAAUCCCAAAAUAUCAAAAUUUUCUUUUUUUUUUGUGCUUAGCAUUUCCGGUUAAGUGCUAAUUAUAUGAUGGUAGAUCUUGGUCAAGGUUUGAGUUCAAAACUAGGGGUGAAAGAAAUUAUAGUUUAAUUAUUAAAAUUAUUAAAAGAACCCUGAUGGCAAGUAGGUGGGCUUUUAAAUAAAUGAAGGGAAAGUUGGACAGAAAAGACCCUACUGGCCCAGGGGAUAAGUGGCGUGUGGCUAGUGUUAGAGGUAUGGGGUUCAAAUCCCACUUUGCUCAAAUAAGGGAUUUAUUUUUGCUUAAAGGGUGGAUAGAGGUGGCAUUGGAUUUAAACUCUGUAGGGAGUGAUAAGAGGAGAAAUUUGAAGAAAGGAUCAAGGGGUUAUCAGGGAGAAAAACGAGGAGAUGAGAAGUGAAGAAGAGGUGGAGCUGAAUUGGGAACUUGGGCUUGAGAAAUUUGGCUAUAGGGGCUAUAAAUAGGUUUCGAAUGGGAGGUGGCUAGGCUAAUGCCGAAUUCCCUUCACCUUGUUGCCAAAAACCCUUUUCCCUAAAAGCCGAAAACCCUUUGCUUUACUUUCUUUUCUUUGUGCCGAUUUCCAUCCUUCCUCUACACAAUUUUCUUUGUUUCACUUGUGGUUUAGUCGACUUCUUCUCGCUUCUUCCCUUAGUAUCGAAUAGUCUUUUGUUGCCAUACAAAUCUCAAUGGGCCAAACACCUCUUUGGCUGAAUACCAUUGGUGCCGCCACUACCCUUUCCUCUCAGUCGAUUCUAGUGUAAGUGUUCGCUCUUCUAAUCGGUUUGUUUUGCUAAGUAUCAAUUAUUGUCCCUCACUUCUUCUAAUCGGUUUUGGGUAGGAAUAGGUAUCGAAUCCCAGUAUUUGGAUCUCUAUUGAUUUGCUCUUCAAGAGAGAGACCUUGGUAAGUGUUCUUGAUCUUAGUUGGUCGAAUGGUCAUAGUUAAGGUAAAGGGGACUUGUGUUGGAUACAAGUCACCUGUUAUUUUGGUGUUAAUAGUUAAGAUUGGUGCAGAUUUAGGAGUUGAUCGUGGUUAGUGCUUAAAGUAGAGGUUGUUAUAACUUGUCGCGCAAUGUAAGAUGGAAGGUGAGGUUUCGGUUUUGGUAAAGAUAUGUAUUAAGCAUGCGAUUAAUUGAAGAGUGAUAUCGAUUGUAGGUUCGAGGCUAAGGAAAUCACAGCGCAUUCUAUUACCAGGUGUGUACAUACACUGCACACACAAGUAGAUCGAAAAAUCCCGAAAAGCCGAAAUGCCGAAAUGCCGAAAGUUUGGCUACGGUAGUCUUGCGAGUGCGCGAACACUCGCAAGGAGGAAACUGAUAGGUUUCCUAAGGCCCACGGGCGAUUCCAUGGACUUGGGUUGUAAAUUGGCCAAACGGGACAGAAUGGGCUAAAUGGGCCCGAUAGGCUGUUGGGCCCAUAAUUGGCAAAAAUUGAUGAUUGAUGCUAUGUGAAGAAAAAUUGUAUGUCAGCAUGACUGUAAAUGUGAUUUGGGCCUAGUGGCCAUAUGAAUGUGAUUGGGCCUAAUGGGCCAUAUAAAUGUGAAUGGGCCUAAUGGGCCAUUUGAAAGAGAUUGGGCCUAGUGGACCACAUAUAUAUAUAGGUAUGUGGAUUUGUCUGGGCUUUGUAAGAGGUUGUAGGCCUAGUAUAUGAUGACUGCAUAAAACUUAAUUAAUUUAUUAAGGACCGUGGACAAGUCAUAGGGUUAAGGUGUGGCAACAGGUAUGUGCAUGUCUAGGAUUGGAUCUAGGGAGAGCUUGGUACUUAAGCGGUCUUAAUGACCCACCUCCUCUUCUCUAGAAUCCUACCUGGUGCGUAGUAUUCAUUCAUCUUAGCUCCCGGGAUUUGUUAACGGGCCAAGGUAAGUAAGACCCUUAAUAAAGAAAAACUACCCAAAAUGCCCGUAAGGGCGAAAAUGACCAAAACACCCUUAAGUGUUGAAUGUAAGAUUUAUGGAUGUUACAUGUAUAACUACUGCAUACAUACGAUAUUCCGUUUAGGUUGCAUAGGGUUGGGAAUUAUGGAACGGAGGAAGUAUGUAAGGGUCGUAUGGCUGCUUGACAAUCGAGCUACCAUUGGAGUGUAUCAGAUGGAUGGGUUGAUAUUUAUAUCCCCACAUGGUGUGUACCGAGGGAUGGAGUUGGUGUGUAGCGGAUGGAUUAUUAGGGUGGGUUGCACUGCAUUGCAUGUAUGAUUUUAUGAUGAAUGACGAAUGCUUAUUACUUGUUGAGGGUUGUACACACUGAGUUUGCGAAAACUCACCCCCUCUUUUAUUUUUCUCAGGUGAUGCUCAGUAGGAGUUCGAUGUUUGGAGGGACUUUGGGUGGCCAGCUAGCAAGACAAUUUAGAUUCAUUUUAAAAGUAUUUAAGUUACUCGUUUAUUAAGUAAUUUUCAUUUAGUAUGGAUUGUAAUAAGGCCUCCCCCUUUUUAUUAUUGUUUGGUUAUUUAAAUUCGUGCAUUGUAGUUAUAAGAAGUGGAACAUGGAUUUUCUAAGCUAUAGUUUUCUUUUAAUACUAUGUUUCCGCAAUUAAAGUUUUAAAGGAUAAGUUUUCUUAAGUCAUAUGUUUUAAAAAAAGCUUUGCAAUAGGAAGGAGAUUUUACUAAGUAAUUGAGAUGUAACUUUUGAGGAAGGGUUUUCAAUGAAAAUAAGGUUUUCGCUAAAACACUUCAAUGUGACACGCCAGAUUCGGCCAUAACGUCUGGGCCGGGUUUGAAGUGUUACAAUGAGUUGUCCUGUACUCCAGAUGAAUAUUUAAAAUGUGCUAUAUCCUUGCUCCGAGACACAGCAUACCACUGGUGGAAUACCCUAGUAUCAAUAGUUCUGAGAGAGCAGGUGACUUGGGAAUUCUCUCAAACUAAGUUCUGUAAGAAAUAUAUUAGUCAGAGAUUUAUCGACCAGAAGCGUAUAGAAUUUCUAGAGCUAAAACAGGGUAGGAUGACAGUGACGGGGUAUGAGCGGAAAUUCGUAAGACUCAUCCAAUAUGCCCAAGAGUGUGUUUCUACUGAAGCCAUAAUGUGUAAAAGAUUUGAAGAUGGGCUGAAUGAAGAUAUCAAACUAUUGGUUGGCAUACUUGAGAUAAAAGAGUUUGUGGUACUUGUUGAGCGAGCCUGAAAAGCUGAAGAGCUCGGGAAAGAGAAAAGAAAAGCUGACUUUGAAGCUAGAGAUGUACGUAAAAGAACAUCCGGUAAGUCAUUCCAGUCGGCAUCAAAGAAGUUUCGAGAUGAUUUUAGCCGUUCUAAAACCACUUCAGGUUCCUCUAGGCGGGAUCAGAAUAGACCACCAGUGAGCUCGAAAGCUACCUCAGUAGCGAGUGUGGGUAAUGUCAGAUCAAAUCAAACCGAGUGCAAGCAAUGUGGUAAACGACAUCUCGAAAGUUGUAGGUUGCAUGAUCCGGCCUGUUUUAAAUGUGGAUUGACAGAUCAUUAUAUUCGAGACUGCCCAACGUUAGCUGAGGAAAAUCCAGUGUAGAAUACAAGAUCGGGUAACACUGCAACUCGAGGUAGACAACCCAGAAAUGCUGGUAAUACGAGUGGAAGUCAGAGAGGGACUAAAGAUACAGCAAUUAGAUCUAAGGCUCGUGCACCUGCCAGAGCUUAUGCUAUACGUGCACGAGAGGAGGCUUCAUCCCCCGAUGUUAUUACUGGUACAUUUACUCUUUAUGAUACUAAUGUAAUUGCAUUGAUUGAUCCUGGUCCUACUCAUUCUUAUGUAUGUGAGACAUUAGUAUUCAGCAAAACUCUACCUGUUGAGUCUAUUGAGUUUGUGAUUAGAGUGUCAAACCCCUUGGGCCGGUGUGUUAUGGUUGAUAAAGUGUGUAAGAAUUGUCCCUUGAUGGUUCAAGAUUUUUGCUUUCCGACUGAUUUGAUGUUGCUACCAUUUGAUGAGUUCGAUAUAAUUCUGGGUAUGGAUUGGUUGACUUUACAUGAUGCUGUUGUGAACUACAAAAGGAAGACCAUUGAUCUUCGGAGCCAGAAUGAUGAAGUUAUUCGGAUUGAAUCUAAUGAUUUGUAUGGGUUACCAGCAGUGAUUUCUUCGAUGCUAGCUCAGAAAUAUGUAAGGAAAGGGUGUGAAGCUUGUUUUGCUUAUGUGCUCAACAGUAAAGCGACUGAAAGAAAUAUUGAAUCAGUACCUGUUGUAUAUGACUAUAUGGAUGUGUUUCUAGAAGAAUUACCGGGACUGCCACCUUUUCGGGAAGUAGAGUUUGGUAUUGAGUUAAUGCCUAGGAUGACUCCGAUAUCCAUAGCUCUGUACCGAAUGGCUCCUACAGAAUUAAAAGAAUUGAAAGCACAGUUGCAAGAAUUGACAGAUAGAGGUUUCGCGCGACCGAGUUUCUCUCCGUGGGGUGCACCUGUGUUGUUUGUGAAAAGGAAAAAUGGAACUAUGAGAAUGUGCAUUGAUUACAGCCAGCUUAAUAAGGUGACUAUAAAGAAUAAGUAUCCGUUACCACGGAUUGAUGAUCUGUUUGACCAACUGAAAGGGGCUACAGUAUUUUCGAAGAUAGAUUUGAGACCAGGCUAUUAUCAGUUGCGAGUUAAAGAUUCAGAUGUGCCAAAGACUGCCUUCAGAACAAGAUACGGACACUAUGAGUUUUUGGUUAUGCCUUUCAGACUCACUAAUGCACCUGCUAUUUUCAUGGACUUGAUGAAUCGGAUCUUCAGACCGUAUCUGGACCGGUUUGUGGUUGUGUUUAUAGAUGACAUUUUGAUCUACUCUCGUGAUGAAGCUGAAUAUAUUGAACAUUUGAGACUUGUGCUGCAGACCUUACGAGAUAAGCAGUUAUAUGCGAAAUUCGGUAAAUGUAAGUUCUAGUUAAAUGAAGUCAGUUUUCUGGGCCAUUAGUAUUAGCAUCAGGUAUCCGGGUCGAUCCGAGCAAAAUUUCAGCCAUACUAGAUUGGAAACCUCCGAAGAAUGUUUUUGAAGCCCGAAGCUUUCUGGGACUUGCUGGUUAUUAUAGACAGUUUGUGAAAGGUUUCUCUAUGAUUGCAGCUCUGAUAACAAAGCUAUUGCAGAAAGAUGUUAAGUUCGAGUGGUCAGAGAAGUGUCAACAAAGUUUUAAUCAGUUGAAGGCUUUUCUAACAGAAACUCCAAUGCUAGUUCAGCCGAAAUCUAGCAAAGAAUUUGUUAUUUAUAGUGAUGCAUCAUUAAAUGGUUUGGGUUGUGUCCUGAUGUAGGAAGGCAGAGUGAUAGUGUAUGCCUCGAGACAAGUAAAGCCACAUGAAAGGAACUAUCUGAAACACGACCUAGAAUUGCCAGCCAUUAUGUUCGCAUUGAAGAUUUGGCGUCAUUAUCUGUUCGGUGAGAAAUGUCAUGUUUAUUCUGAUUAUAAAAGCCUGAAAUAUUUGAUGACUCAGAAAUAUCUGAAUUUGAAACAACGUCGAUGGUUAGAACUGAUAAAAGACUACGAGCUUGUGAUUGACUAUCAUCCGGGAAAAGCUAACGUUGUUGUUGAUGCCUUAAGCCAAAAAUCACUGUUUGCUUUACGUGCAAUGAAUACGCAUAUGGAUAUGUUUGAUGAUGGUUCGAUAGUACCUGAAUUGAAAGCUAGACCAUUAUUUCUUCAACAAAUAUGUGAUGCCCAGAAGAUUGAUAAUGAAUUGAUUGCAAAACGAGCUCAGGUGAGACAGAUGCUGAUUCAGAGUUCAGAGUUGAUGCUGAUGACUGUUUAAGGUUCAAAGACUGAAUAUACAUUCCGAGAAAUUCAGAGUUGAUUUAGAUGAUUUUGAAUGAAGCUCAUAGCAAUCGAUUAUCUAUUCACCCAGGUAGUACAAAGAUGUACAAUGAGCUAAAACAACUUUACUGGUGGCAUGGUAUGAAACGAGACAUUUCUGACUUUGUUGCAAGAUGUUUAGUUUGUCAACAAGUAAAAGCUGAACAUCAGGUGCCUUCAGGACUACUUCAGCCUAUCAUGAUACUUGAGUGGAAAUGGGAUAGAAUUACGAUGGAUUUUGUAUUUGGUUUACCGGUGACACCGAGCAAGAAAGAUGCAAUCUGGGUUGUUGUUGAUAGAUUGACUAAAUUGGCUCAUUUUGUUCUGAUACGUACAGAUUACUCACUAGAUAAGUUAGCUGAAUUGUAUGUCUCUCAGAUUGUGAGAUUACAUGGUGUGCCUAUAUCUAUUGUCUCGGAUAGAAAUCCGAGGUUUACAUAGCAGUUUUGGAAGAAACUGCAAGAUGCACUAGGUACAAAAUUACAUUUUAGUACUGCUUUCUAUCCGCAAACAGAUGGCCAGUCUGAAUGAAUAUUCAGAUACUUGAGGAUAUGUUGAGAUGUGGCAUUCUCGAGUUCAAAGGUACGUGGGAACGAUACCUGCCUCUGAUUAAAUUUGCAUAUAAUAACAGUUAUCAAUCGAGUAUCAAAAUGGCACCUUAUGAGGCUUUGUAUGGACAUAAAUGUCGUACGCCGUUGUACUGGACUGAGCUCAGUGACAAUAAGAUACACGGAGUUGAUUUGAUCAGAGAAACUGAACAGAAAGUGAAAGUGAUCCGUGAAAGUUUAAAAGCAGCAUCAGAUCGUCAAAAAUCUUAUGCGGACUUGAAACAUAAAGAUAUAGAGUUUCAAAUUGGAGACAAAGUCUUCUUGAAAGUAUCACCGUGGAAGAAAAUACUUAGAUUCGGCUGUAAAGGCAAAUUGAGUCUGAGGUUUAUUGGGCCAUAUGAAGUUAUAGAGCGUAUCGUACCAGUUGCUUAUAGACUAUUGUUGCCACCAGAGUUAGAAAAGAUCCACAAUGUAUUCCACGUUUUGAUGCUUUGAAGGUAUCGAUCUGAUCCUUCACAUGUGAUUAGUCCGUUUGAGAUUGAAAUUCAACAUGAUAUGACCUAUGAGGAAGAACCGAUUCACAUUCUGACUCUUGAAAUUAAAGAGUUGGGAAAUAAAAAGAUUUCGUUAGUUAAAGUACUGUGGCAUAAACACGGUGUUGAAGAAGCAACAUGGGAACCAGAGGAUGCAAUGAAAGAACGCUAUCCGAACCUACUCACUGGUAAGAUUUCGGGGACGAAAAUCCCUAAGGGGGGAGAGUUGUAACAGCCCGAUUUAGACCCUAAUCGGAACGGUGGUUUCGGGACCACGAAUUUGAGUCAGAAAAAUAUCUAAAAAUUAUUUUAUGUGUUUAUUUUGUGUGAAUUUAUAUAUGUGAAAUUUUCGUGAUUUAAUUUUGUCGUUCAGGUGUCCCAUUAAAUAAAAGGACUUAUCGCGUAAAUUAAAAAUUUGAUAGUUAAAAGCAUAAAGGGCUAAAUUGAUAAUGGCUUAUUAAAUGGAAGACUUUAAGUUGUAAAUUACCCAUUGCCAUAAUAAGUGGACGGUAAAAGACAUGGAUUAUAUAGUUUAUUAUUAUUUCAUUAAGGUUAUUUAAGUAAUUUAUUUAAUAAACAUAUAAUAGUUAAAAUAAAGUUAUGAAAUUAAUUACAUUCAUUUUGUUCUUUGACCGAAACUUAAGAAAAUAAAAGAAGAAAGAAUAAAAGCUAGGGUUCAGCUUAUUUGGAGCUCAAUCAAGGUUCAUUUUCUUGUCGAUUUUUGAUAAUUUCUACGUUUUUGAGAUCGUUGCUUAGUAAUCUUCAAAACCCAAGCUUUAAUUUUUUUUAUUUUGAUGAAUAUUUUGAGUUGUUCCAUUAUUGAUAGCUUGUGAUUUUUGUUGUUUGAUGAUGAAAAAUGAAAGAUAUGUUUUAGAUUAACAUAUUUUGUAUUGGAGUUUUUGAUGAUUUUGAGUAAUUAGGACUUAAUUGAAAAAAUAAUAAUUUGAGGGACUAAAAUGUGAAAUUGAUAAAAUAUGUGGACUUGCAUGAGCAUGUGGGCUAUUCGGCCUAACAUGGGUGUUGUGAAAUUUUGUGUAUUUUUUGUUUUGUGUAAUAUGGACUAAAUUGUAAAAAUUGUAAAUGUUAGGGGUAAAAUGGUAAUUUGCCUAUUUAUGUGUUUUUGGGCUAAAUUGAAUGAAAAUAUGUUUAAAUGAGCUUAAUUUGAAUAUGUUUAGAUCAAGAACCAAAGAAAUCAGAUUUGGACCGGAGAAAAACAAAAGUUAUCGACUAGCAGCCCAGUCCCGUUUUACGAUGUCUGAGGUAAGUUUAUAAGCAAAUAGACGUGUUUAUUGAUAACUUUAACGUUAUGUUUUCUUAAGUUAAAAUUAUGGUAUGGCUGAAUGUGAUUGAAUAUGGUUACCACACUUUCGAGUGCGAUUCGACUGAAAUACGACGUCCGAAAGCCCCGUAUGAACCUUAAGAAUAGAUAGGAUACAUAUGUCAUGAUAUAGGAUUCCGAUAUAUGUGUGUAAGUAAGACCAUGGCAUCGAUUUGUGGUUUUCGAUAUGUGUUUACAAGUAAGACCCUGUUCGGGACAAUGGCAUCGUUUUGUGGCUACAUGUAAGCCCACGUCUGGGACGUUGGCGUUGUAUGAUUUAUGUGAUUAUCCGAGUGUCCUAUCCAAUUCUGAAUGGUUCAUUGGGGAAAGGUAAUCGUGUACAGAUUGUAUGAUAUGAGCUAAUGGCCAGGUAUGAGUUAGUUCGAUAAUUAACAAAAAUAAGGUAAGUGUAUUCGGCCUAUUGCACAUUAUUGAAUAAAUGUAAAUUUAGUAUAUGUGUAUUUAUGAGUAUUCGAUCAUGUGACUAAUAUAAGUACUUGAGACUAUAUUAUAAUCUAUGAGUUUAUGUAUGAAUGGUUAUGUGAACUAAGAACUUAGUGGAUAUUCGGCCUUGAAAGCUAAAUAAUGAUUUGUAACUUUUGAUCAUACAAGCAUUAGGGUAAAGUGAUGAUUUAACUGUGUAUAAAUGCAUAUGAUUAUAUAUAAGUAACAUGGAUGUAUUUGUGCCUAGAAUCGAAUGUAAAUUGAUGUAAUAAUUUUAGUAUAAAUUAGUUAAGUCGAAUAAAUCAUUGAGUAAUUGAUUUGCUUAUGACUUACUAAGCUUUGAGAGCUUAUUCCUUGUGUUUUAUCUACUUUGUUUUAUAGAUUUUGAAGUCAAGCUACAAGCUCGGGAGCAGUCAGCCAAGUUCAUCACACUAUCUACUGUUUUGGUACCUUCAAACUAAAUUUAAGUUAUGGCAUGCAUAGGCUGGUUUUGGAGUUAGUUAUUUUGGAAAUGAAUGUAUAUUUAAGCCAUGCGAAAAUGGCUAAAUUUUUAAGUUAGUCUUGAAUGUGUUUUGGUUGUGGUUAUUGCUCUCUAUAUGAAUUCAGUUAUGCAUGAUCAUGGAAUGAGCUCAUUAGGGUUAACAUGCUGUUAGUGAAUUAAGUUUAAUUAAGAUUAUGUGUGUUUUGUGCAUCACAAUAAUUGAUGAAUUGGGCAGCAUCUUUAGUUAUUCCGAUUAUAGUUUUUGCGUGAGUACAAACAUAUAUAUGGAAGCGGUAGUUAUAAUUUGUUAAGGUGUUGUUAUAUGCAUUGGUAUAGGGAAUAUUCGGCUAUAUCUUAUUGUGAAUUGGAUUGAUUUUGUUACAGGUUUUAUAUGAUAUGUAUGGUUGCUUGGCAUGGCUCAUUAAUGAUUUAUAUUUUGAUAAAUCAUUUGUCAUAUGAGUUGAAUUAAAAAUAAUGUCUAGGUUUAUUUAUAUUCGCCCUUGAUACUUAAAAUGUCUUGGGUACUUUGUUAUAUGUUUACGAGGUGAUUAUAAUGGAUAAUGUACGUGCAUGGUCGGUUAUAAGACAAGGGUGAAUGAGAUGGUUGUAACCAACUUGAUUAUAGGUAUAAGUUUAUGUAUUUAUUUGCGCAUAGGAUGGAUUAACUUAUCCAUGAUAUGGUAGUUGUCUGUGCUAUUACAUUGGGUAAAUAAUGCGGUCAGAAGUAUGCAUGAAUGUAAUAAUACGAAGCCUAUGUGAAUUUUGAUUGACAUAUCGACAUUAUAAGGUGUAUAUUUUUUCCACAUGAGUUGGCUUGAAUUUCGUAAUAAAAAUUGCAUUUAUAUUCUACUAGGAAAGGAAGAAACAUACACACAUGCAAUGAUAUAACGUUUGUGGUUCGGUGAUUAAGUGUUUAUAUAUGUAUGCAUAUUCGAAUGGGUGAAUUUACCUAUAUUAAUGCAUGAAACAUGUAAACUCAUGCCAACUAUGAAAUCAUGCUGCAUAAAUGAUAUAUAUUGGAAAUUUGUAUUGUCUGACAUGUAAAGUAGCACUUAUGCAAUUCUUUUAUAUUAAAAGGAUAUAAUAGGUCUGAUGCUUAAUUAAUAAAGUUGAUGGUUAGUUAUUUAUAUUCCGUAUACAUAAAUAGUUUGCUUUGACAUAUAUUGGAUUAUGUUUUAAUUAUGUGUAAGACCAUGUUUGGGACAUGGGCAUCAUUAUAUGAUUACUUGUAAGACCAUGUCUGGGACAUCGACAUCGUUAAUCGAUUUCGUGUAAGACCCUGUCUGGGACAGUGGCAUCGAUAUGUGUUAACAUGUAGGACCAUAUUUGGGAUAUGGCAUUGUAUGAGCUUUAUGUGAUUUUCGAGUAUCCUUGACAAUUUCGAAUGGUUCAACCGGCAUAGUCAAGAUGAGAAAUAAAGUAUGAUUGGAAUAAGUCAUACAAGUACGCACAGAACCUAUGUGAGAAUCGAAUAAAAGUAAAUUGAUGAGUUCAUAUUGUAUUAUGUAUAUUAAAAAAGAAUUGUAUAUAAGUAUGUUUCAUGUCAAAAUGUGUUUAUUUGAUUAUAAUGAAGUAUGAAUUGAAUAAAUAUUGAGUAAUUAAAUGAAAAGUAUGAGUUGAAAAAGGUAAGUUGUCGAAUAAGACCAUAGCUGGGCUAUGGCAAUUGACUUAUAAAACCAUAACUGGGUUAUGGCUUGUGAAAUAAAGACCAAAGCAGAGCCUUGGCAAUAUAUGUGUAAGACCAUAGUUGGACUAUGGCAUUGGGAAAAUCGAUGAAUAUUGAAUUGAAUAAAGUUUAUAUAUAAUUGUUUAUGCUUAUGAAAAUGUGAAUGAAUUGAUAAGAAUAUUCAAACUAUACAUGUUUUGAAUGAAUAAACUCAUGAAAAUUUUGAUCAUCUAUGUACAUGAAUUUGAGAUUGAAUGGUGAAAUCAUAUGAAUUAUAUCAUGAUUUGAGUAAUUGUUUAAAAUGCAUUUAUUUAAUAAUAUGAGUUUAUUUCCAUACGAGCUUACUAAGCUUUAUAGCUUACUUUGUUUUAUUUUCUAUGUUUAUAGAGUUUCGAAAGCUUGCUCGGGUUGGAAGUCAUCGGAGAUCUCAUCACACUAUCCAGCUAUGGUUUGGUUUAUAUGAGCUUUGUGAUUUUGGUUAUAUGGAAUGUAUAGGCUUGAGUGUUUUUUAUAAAGGUUUUGGGUGAUGUAUUGGGUCAUUUUAUAUGGCUUAUUAAUGACUUACGUUUGAUGUGUAAUUUGCCUUGUGUAAUGGCAUAAUUUGGUAUGGUUGGUGAUGGUUCAAGAUGAUCAUUUCGUCAUUUGGUAUAUGAAGAGUAUUUACUUAUGAAAAACAUGAUUUUGGACUUGAUAAAUGCAUGGCUAAUAGAUAAUUUAUGAGUCAAGCUUUGUGUGUGAUUGAUGGUAGUAAAAAUACAUAUUGAAAUAGGUUGUUUUGAUGAGUAUGAUAUGUACUUUGGUAUAUGAUUGAAUAGGUGAGUAAUGAGGAAUCAAUCAUGCUAGCUUGGUAUGUGUUUGAAUGUACUAAUGGUAUUGAUUUGAGUAUAUGAGUGCUUGAUUUUGAAAUGGCUUAUAAUAUGUAUUCAAAUGGUUGUUUUGGCUGCCAAAUUGGAUGUGAGUAAGGUGUUAUAUAUAUGCUUUAAGGUGAUUGAUUAUAGGUGAGGAAAAGUGGCUUAAAACAACCCUAAUUUUGCCCCACACGGUUGAGCACAUGGGCGUGUGGCUUGACCUUGUGCCAGCUGUAACUUAACUAUACAAGUCAGAGAGUUACACGGCUUAGACACAUGGGCGUGUCUACCGGCCGUGUGUGGCACACGGGCUGGCACAUGGGCGUGUGGUCGGCCGUGUGGCCAAGUCAGUAUACCCUUCAGAUUUCCCACGGCCAUGGCACACAGGCGGGUCUCCGGCCGUGUGGUGAAGUCAGUAUGUAUGCCUUGUUUUCACACGGCCUAUGACACUGGCGUGUCUAGUGACUGUGUGAGGCACACGGCUUGUUCACACGAGCGUGUGACCCUAAAAUGUUGGGAAAUUUUCUAAGUUUCCCAAAGUUUGCAAAUGUUAUCGGUUUAGUCCCGAACCACUUCUAAACAUGUUCUAAGGCCUUGAAGAGCCUUGUAAGGGACAAUUUGAUGGUGUUAGGUAUAAUUAUGACUAUGAAUGUUUAAAUUAUGUGAUAUUGAUGUGAUUGAUCAGUAAUACCUUGUAACCCUAUUCCGGCGACGGAUAUGGGUUAGGGGUGUUACAUGGAAUGAAUGGGAGCUGAUUAGCCUUGGCUAGGUUCGGCCAUAGUGCUUAAAAAGGCUUAAAUACAAGUAUCUUAUUCAAACUGAUAGGUUUGAAGACUUAAUGAGUAGCUUGAAUAUUGUAAGAGUCAUUUUGAGUGUGAAAGCUGAAAUUAAAUAACCACUUGUGUGUGAACGCACAAAACCGAAAGGCCUUCAUGUGUGAACGGAAUAAUCAGCUAGUGUGAAAGCCUUCAAGGCCGCUUUGGGGAGCUAAUUGGUCAGCUUAGGAACAUGAAUGAUCAGCCAUUCUUUGGCCUAAUAGGUGCUUGGGAGAGUUCAAGCAUCAGCACACCUAAGCAUUAAAGCCGUCCAUGCAUUUAGCUUGGCAUUAAAACCGGCCAUGCAUAUGCUGCACAAAACAAAUUAACACAUUUAAUUAAUUUAGGACAUAGUAAAUUCGGCUGCACUAGGACAUAUUAAAAACAUGUUUUAAUUUUAAGACAUAUUAAUAACAUGUAUUUAAGCUAAGACAUAUUAAAGACUUGUAUAGAAUAUGACACAUUAAAUUCAGCUGGAACAAAACAUAUUAAAAUCAUGUAAUAAGCUAAAAACAUAAUUAUGAGCUGAACCUAAAUUAACUAACUUAAUUAAAUACUUAAGUUUAUUUCAACUAGUAAACGCAUGAACUAAAAAAAGUAGAAAUUAGGUCAAUUGAGUUGAAUUGAGCUGAACUAAGCUCAUGGAGCUAAGUUUGAGCUAAGUUCGUCUUGCAAGAGGUUGCAAGGUGAUUUUGUUGAGCUAGUCCAAGCUCUCUUAAUAUGUCUAGCCAAUGUCUCGCCCCACACUUGGUUGACUAAGGCUGAAAUAACCUCUUUGAAUUGUUUGGCUCGAGCUCAAGUGAUAGGUCCUUGUGGCAGCUCCAAAGGUUCUUUGUUCAAGCUUGGUGUGACCCAGGGCAUGGUCGUAUCUCUGUUGGAACUCCUAAAGAGAUCAAAAGAUAUUUCCCCAAAUUUUUUCCUCACUCAUGACUUUCAAAAGAAUCGUGAUAUAAACAUUUAGCAAAUCCAUUAAAGUGGUCAUUUGAAAAGUUAGUAUUCAAGAUUGAAAUAUGUACUCUAAGAUAUUAUGUGUUCUCAUGAGGAUGAGUAAAUACACAUUGUAUUCUUUUCCUUCACUAAGGUUUUGUCUCAUUGGGUUUUCUUUUGCUAAUUUUUUUUCCAUAGGGUUUUUAUCUUAGUAAAGUUUUAAUGAAUCAUAUUAUCUAUCAAUAGACAUCUAAGGGGAGUGUUUUAAAUAUUUUAUUAUUAUAAAGUGGAUGUUUAUUAAGAUAAGAAGUUUAAUGCACUUUAGAAUUCUAAUGCCCAUUAGAAAUAGAAUUAUCAUUUAUACUUAUGUUUAUAGAUAUAAAUUUUGAAGAAGCACGGUAAAUAUCAUAUUGAUGAAUAAAAUACAUACUUCUCUUUUUGCUCUCCUAUCUCUAUUUUUUUAUUUUCUUUAUUGUUUAUUUUAUAACAAAUUGUAGACAAUACAAUUUAGAAAAAUGAAUAUUCUCAAUAUCCUAAUUUUAUUGCCUACACAUGAAAAAGUAAUUUAAAUUAUAUUUUAGGAAAUUUGUUUCGCCUUUAAAAAUAAUUUUAAAUUAAAUUAUACGAAGCAAAUUUAUUUUAAAAUUGAAUUAUAUAUAUUAUAACCACAAGUGUUUUCAUCAUUUUUAUGAUUUAAGUAUAAUCUUUUCCCCAAUGGUGAUAUUUACAUAAGACCAUCACAACAAUAUUAACUUUUAAAGUUCAAAUUUAGUCCAAAUGCUUGACAAAAAAUUUCACUCCCACUUCUUCCAUUCCAACCGUGUUAUAACCAUGUCAUACAUACAAUUUGUUUGAAGCGAAUGUAAAAUUAAAACGAAUCAAUUAAUUGAUUAAAUACAUGAAAUUGUAUAAUGAAAGCGUUAUUUCAUGUGCACAAAGAGAAUCGGGAAGACUAUUUACAGCAAAAACAAAUAAAUAAAUACGGUAAUUAAGAUUCUGAAAACGUGAAAAUUUAUGUGCGGAAUGAAUCCAUGUUUAUGAUAUAAAUAUAUAGUCGAGUAGAAAUGCCAACCGACUAGACAAUUAUAGAAGCUAAAGUUUCCUCCCAGAUGAAAUCAAGCAAUGCCAAACUAAUGAAACUGAGAUCAAGUACAAUUAUCUUCUUAGGCCAAUUAUCCAAAUUUAUUACAUUAAAAUGAAAUAUGGUCAAGAAAAAUAAACAAAAUAGCAAUAUUACAUUUUAUGAAUUAGAACAGCAGCGUUGAGGCAGUAAUAUCAAAAUUAACUCGAGAUUAUUAGUCUAGAUUCAAACCUCGCGGCUAAACUUGAAAAAAAAUUCAAAGAAAGAAUUUUAUUAUUUAUAAAUUGAAAGUUUUUUUCUUCUUU
RNAcentral lists this long non-coding RNA (46167 nucleotides) under Gossypium barbadense (sea-island cotton). RNAcentral's name for it is "long non-coding RNA (GBAR_LNC012397)". Lineage: Eukaryota; Viridiplantae; Streptophyta; Magnoliopsida; Malvales; Malvaceae. The record is from RNAcentral.